UGGAUCAAGGCAAGUAUAGCAUUUGGAUUUUAUUUCUGUGACCAUGAUCGUGUGGCUAGAUUAAUGUUAAGUAAUAAACGAUAAAAAUGACUUUUUAGCAACUUGAUGAUUUGUCUGUACGUGAUCACCCGGGACAACAGUGCAACCAUGAGGGCUAUAAUGGCUCUGGCUUUAGUUAAGUAUGAGUAACUUUUCUAGCUCGUUAGCGGUUACCCGUUGUGGCGCAAUUGGGGAAUAGCAGACCGUGGAUUCCUGCGGGUGAAUCACAUGGACUGACUAAUGAAACCAAGCGGCCCUAACUUGUUAGACGAACCUUUGAAAGACUUCAUAGUGAUCCCUGCCGACCUUCCUAGGAAGGGGGUUAAGAGAUUAGCUACCUAGGGUGAAAGGGUAAAUCAUGACUCAUGGGUAAAGAUGUGCAACCUCUGCAGAGGGUUAAAAACUAGUAUACUAGCCGAGCUCACGGUCAGGAGCGGCCUUGGGGACAUCUACAUUAAGGGUGAUGAUUCUUGUGUGUUAAAUGUGCUCAUUAUUUAUUAUUUAAUGCUUUACAUAGUUUAUGUCACAUUGAUCAUGAGAUUGUGGGAGCUAUACAAUCUAGUUGCUAUACUUGUGGAGUUCGACAUGGACUCACUCUUGCUAUUUCCCCCAAACCUCAGGAGAAGUUUAGGCUUGUGAUCAACCAGUCAGUUGGAUCCUGUAGAGAGAAGUUAAUACCCGGAGUUUGGAGUUGUCUAUCCGCUGUUUGCUAUCAAAGGUUAUCUCUUUUAUAUUAUGUACGUUAUAUAAUUUAUGCAUUGUCUUUUGAUAUUACCCCUUAUUUGUAGCUAUAUGUGAGAUUUGGCUUCUAAGACUCACAUAUGGUGCAUAUCUGGUUUUGUCCUUAAAAUCGGGUAUUACACAGAAGUUUUACCUCAUUUGAGAGUUUGUUAGGCGAGGUGAAAUCAAGAUGUGCAAAAUACAUAAGGAUUUGAAUAUUGUAGAUCCUUUAACAAAGGCUCUUCCACAACCUAAGCAUGAGGCAGACUUGAGGUCUAUGGGUAUUAGAUAUCUUAGAGUUUGACUUUAGUGCAAGUGGGAGAAUAUUGGUAAUAUGCCCUAGAGGUAAUCAUGGAGAUGAUGAUAUUAUGAUUGUAUCCAUGACAUAUAUUAUGAGUUCAAUGUAUCCAUUAUAGACAAACUUGUAUCGAUUGACAAUUAUGUGAAUUAUUUGUGAAACUCUUUUACUUGUAUGAUUAUUCUAUAGUGUUCCUAAUUAGAGUUCAUGUGAGGACACAUAUGAAUAUUAGAUUAGCACUUGUAUUAGUUGAUGACUAUGUUUCACAAGUCAUAGACAUAGAGAUGUCAAACUAAUAAUGUGGCCACAUGUAUGACAUGGGGCUGGACUAGCCCAACUUGAGAUGUUCUUAUUAUCUCUUUAUGCAUCAUGUACAUUAUGUCCUUAGACCUAUGAUUAUUGUAUGUUCUCAAGAUGUGAAACGACCUACUUAGGGACUAUUAAACACUACUCCGUAAUAGGGUAGUUAUAAACGUGGUCUUCAGGUUUGUCGAAAAACAUGCUGAGACAUAGAUAAGAUGGAACUUGCCCCUCUCUAUGUAAGAGAGAUAUCACUAGAUCACUCAAGUGAUUGGAUCAACAAAGAGAGAUUUACUUGUGUGGCCCUAAAAAAAUGCCUCUUCCUUGUAUGGCUUCUUUUUUUUGAACUUCCUUCUAUGACCCUUAAAUGAAUUUUCAUUCCUUCUAUGGCCUUCAGUCCGUUUUCAACACUUAACAGUGUUAAGUGGAGGGUAAAAAGACCACAAUACCCCUGGCAUGAAAUUUUUUUUCACAAAGUUUGGUUUGUUUCUUGUAUAAAUGAAAUUUUUGAGCAUAUACUGUACUGUGAUGUUGUCCAAAUAUUUAUAUUUAUUAUGAUCCAAAUAUGUAGUGUUAUAAUGCCUAAAUUGUCAAUUUAUUUGUUUACUAUUACUCAAAAUAUACAAGAAACAAACUAAACUUUGCGAAAAAAAUUGAUGCCACGGGCAUUAUGGUCUUUUUAUCCUCCACUUAACACCGUUAAGUGCUGAAAAUGGACAGAAGGCCAUAGAAGGAAUGAAAGUUCAUUUGAGGGCUAUAGAAGGAAGUUCAAAAAAGAAGAAGCCAUACAAGGAAUAGGCAUUUUUAGGGCCAUACAAGUAAAUCUCUCAUCAACAAAUGCAUGGUUGGUGAUACUAGAUAUGUACACAGAGAAAUAAUCCGCAAACACAUGGAUAUCGGUGAGCACUUCACCCGAGAAAUAUUCUAGAGUAUCGUUAUUUAUUUAUCCGCUAGGAGAAAGCGUGCAUCUAACUAACCCAAAUCUAUACUUAAACCCUAGGCUACAGACAAGAUAGUGAGAUAUGAGCAAUAUAGAGAGAAUUACUUUGUCAGUCUUUCUCUAACCAGUGGUAAGCUAUGUAGUUAUUGUUCUAAGGGGGUACCUAAGGAAAAGUGACACCUCAGAGAAUGCUUAACCCUGACACACUAUUUUCUACCUUACCUCUUGACAGGACAUGAAUUACGAAGACACCAAGGGGACUGUCACUUCCCCCCACUAUUACCACAGAUCCAGCUAGAUAGGGAGUAUCUACGAGUAUUCUUAGCCCAAGCACCACGCUUACGCUACAAAUAAUUACUCUAUUCCCUACAUGAAGCGAAUAAAUAAACCCAUAAACCAAAGAACAAUAAGAACAAUAAACUUACUAGUAUUAGGAGUUGAAUUGCCGAAUGAUCUUAGAACCAAGCCUCGGGUUACGAGACUUUGAUCCCACAGAUACAACUAGAGAGGAGACACCGAUAGGCUAGGCUUCCUCCACUUCUAUCUCCACACUAUACUCUCUCAAUCUCUCUUGUUGCUAAAACCCUAAAGAGACAGUUCCAUUCAAGGGACCCCUCUCUAGCUAAUUCUCUCUGAAAAAUAUGAAUUAGGGUUUCUAAAUUGGAACUAAUCCAAGGGCAGGGGCCCUGCUUAUAUAGCCCUCUUGAAUGCACCACAACCCUCGGAUCAAACCAACCUAAACAUGUGGUCAAGAUUACUUCUCAAAGUUAGUGGUGGCAGGAUCCGCAAGAUUGAGCCUGAUUGGCUGAGGGAGAUGUGUGGCCGCCCUGGCCCUAUGGGUGGGCGCCCCUGGCUAGCUACCAGGUGGUCCUAGCUUUGCAGGGCCGCCUCCUCGAGUCUUCUAGAUUGUUCUUGAGUUGCUAUUCGCGGUAUUCUCUCUAUGUAAAUCUGACAUGUGGACCAUCUUUGGUUGUUUUCAGCUGACACCCUGCAGAAAUAGACAUUCACCAAAACUCAUGGAAUUCUGUUAGUGAUAACCCUAUAUCUACUAGGUGUUUGCAUAUAGAUCUAUUUUCAUGUUUAGUUGAUGGUUAAAAUUAAGAGUUAUCUACCAUCAACAAUGGUUGUGCUUGGGUUAAGUGUUAACCCACAAGUUGAACGAAAUAUCAUGUGAUAAGGGAAUAGCAUGUGUGUGUUUGUAGUGGUUCAUCUGAUAUGAUCUUUGCAUGCGUAUAGGAGUUGUCACACCUUGCUAGAGGCCGCUAUCAACUAUUAGACGAGUAAGGAGUACUUGGCCUAUGUCUAUAUAUACGUGAACCCAUAGGGCCACACGCUUAAGAGGCUGGAAGAAUAAUUCGGGUUAGACCCGAAUUAGACAAGGCUUAGAGUUUUCUAAUUGGGCCUCCAACUCGAGGUUGAUUAGGAGACUCCAAUAUAAGAGACGGAGGGGGCAUGACUAGAGUUAUCUCAUGCCAUUUGGUAGCCGCCGCCACUGACCCAUGCCCAUGCCUGUUGCUCCUAGCAGACAUAGCAAUCCGGAGGUGUGAUGCUUCUUCCCUAUAUGUGUGGGAUACCUUGGAGGUGUUACAUCUAGAGCACACGGACGAAUCACACGAGAGGGAUUGACAUGAUAGACAACCAUGCAACUGCACGACACUGCUACUACAUGCACGACUACACCGAGUCACUUCUGCUGCACCUAUGCGUCUAGUGGUAAUCCCAUGAUCUAUAACUAGCAGUUGAUCCUAUUUUAUGAGGUCAAAAUAUUUUUUUCUGGCUAGCGUAGCGUCCUCAUAAUCCUUGACGCUGUAGCAUUUAUAGUAGGAGGAAUAAUGGAGAUGAGUGCCAUAAGAAAACCACCCCUAUUAAUCACAUAUUAAUGGAGACCGUUACUAUAAAGGGACCACCUCCAUUAAUGCAGCCUAAGGCAACCGCCUCCAUUAAUGUGCAUUAACAAAGGUGGCCCUUUUAAAGUGACCACCUCUAUUAAUGUUUAAUCGAGGCGGGCCUUUGGGUGGCCGAGUGGGGCUGGCCGCGCCAGGAACAAUGGAGGCGGGCAAAAAAUGUCCCCGCCUCCAAUCUCAAAAUGGCAACACUACCUAAAACAAAACAUGUACUAGUGCACAAGCACAACACAACAAGGAGCAGCUUUGGUAAGAGAAGUCGAAGAUGUAAUAGAGGCACGACUAUAGGAGUGCUCCAUUGAUGCCUUCAUGAAGUGCAGUGACAUCCACAAACGUACUAUCGUUGGAAACAAGUACAAGAGUAGGAUUUUCACCCUAAGGCCUACCCGAGCGACAUGCCCAAUGAAUAGAAUCUUCAACAACGUGUCCAAGAAGGUAGAUAAAGCAAGUUGUGUCAUCGUUGCUGCCUAGAGUAAGAAGCUAGGUGGGGUUUAAUUUUCACCGAGAAUCCAUUCGUCCAUUGAUAUGAAUAGGCACAAGACAUGGCCACCCCACGCAGCCUAAGCAUAGGCCAUAAGCAAUCAAUGCGCAAGCACUUCCUGUGCAGGACCCAAGCCACCAAGGACAACAGCAUGAACAUGGCCUCACCACACUGAGGCCACAAACAACCAUGUCGUUGCGCUAGAGCAAGUGCAGUCAUAGGGGACUCACCCCAAGAGCAGUGCAAAAGACAAGCACACGAAUGAUGACCUCUAGCAGCACCACAAGGGCCUAGUACGAUCCAUACAACCCCAAAUAGGGGGAGGCAGGCACGCUACCAACCUUAGGAAGCACCCUCGAACGGAGGAGGCUGUCCAGGAGCCAUGCCCAGCCUAGGGCCUUGUGGGGAACCAUGAGGCUCGCCACAAGGAAUGCGGCCAUGUAGGACGCCGCGGCGCUGACCACCCCUACACCUGUAGUAAAUGCCAAGGCUACCACUAUUGCGCCACACUCCAAAUCUAGGAGAAGGUGGGAGAUCUAGCCCUAUAGGACCUAGAUCCCCCUAAAGUCACUGGCCACCCACUCAACCAAAGAUGAAUGGAAAGAGGAGGGGUGGUAGGGGAAGUGGAAGGUGGAGAGGAGAGGCACUAUGGACGACACCUAGUCGAGCGCCCCCGCUCACUGGAGAGUGGCAUUGGUGGCCGAAGGGGUGGCAGGAUAGCCAAGUUUGUGGCAAUGCUGGUGAGUCUUGUGUGUCUCUCUUUCAUCACACAUCGAGGUCAUGGUCGUUGUGUGUCAUGUGUGUCACAGUGGGGUGGUGGCACUUGGGUGGUAAGCAACCCUGAGGGCUGAGGACAAUGGCACUUGGGCAUUGGCGGCGAUGCUAGGUACGGUGGACGUAGGCGGAGGCAAGCUGAGGGGGUGGCAACGGAGAUGAGUGGGUUUGGCGGCGUCGUAGGGGUUGAUGCGCGAGGAGGGAAAGGGGUGGGAUGUGUUACUAGAUGCACGCUAGCGGCAUGGUCAAGGGGGUGAAUGUCAUAUUGGUUUGUUUUAGGGUUUUUCACAUGGAGUGCAAAGCAUAACCCCCUUUUUUGCCAUGCCUGUAAUCUACAGGCGCGAAGAAAUAUUCCAUAGGGCAUGAAGUAAUAUUCUUUUCAUGCCACAUGUCAAAGAUGGGUCAUGUCGGUUUUUUAGCCAUCAGGAUAGCAUUGCUAUUGAUUUUUGGCGGUCGACGCGGGAGUUGUUGACUUACACGUAGAUUUUGGCAAUCUACACUGCACGAGUCUAGAUUUUUUUUUGUUCCUUUUCUUUAAAAUCUCUUUGAGACGGAGAUGCUCUAAUUAAAAACAUGUCAUUAAUGUCACUUACACGUAUAUGGGCGCAGCCAAUAUAUAGCAGAUGUUUCGUUCAGGUCCAGGUGCAGAUCAUCACGCGUACGUACGUGCCUCUGACGAAACAAACGACCGACGACAUCCUUUCUUAGACAAGGGGAGAGCCGUUCAUUUCGUACCCGCGCGCGUCUGCAGUGGAUUAUACUAGUAGUAAGUAUUAUCGCCUUGUUCAGUUGCCAAACAAAUUUGGUUUUGAGCGCUGUAGCGUUAUCUUUUGUAUUUUACAAUUGUUGUCCAACUAUAGACUAACUAGACUCAAAAAAGAUUCGUAUUGUAAAUUACAAAUGAACUGUGAAAUUAAUUAUUUUUUAUAUUUAUAUUUAAUAUUUCAUAUUUGCGUCUAAAGAUUCGAUGUGACAGGGAAUCUUGAAAUUUUUUAGAACUAUAAACAAGGCCUAUAUACAUAUUAUCAUAUAUAUAACGCGCAUCUGUGGCGGCGGCGUACUUGCGACUCUCUUGUGGAAUAUUGCACCUUAAGCCAUGCAUAUGUUUGAGCUGCACAUAGCCAUAGAUAUAUGCACGUACGCUAGCUAGUGGAUUACCAGGCUUGCUUCGUUGGACCCACUUACCAAUCCCAAGCCGGCCGGCAGCCGCCAAUCAACCGUAAUCACGAAGGCCUCAACCGUCAUUACGAAGGCUAGUGGUGUUUGUUGUGUGUAUAUAUACACACGACCGAUCAUCAUCGAUUCAUCACAACAAAAUCCGUCCAUACCCAUACUUACAUAUAUCUACAGACUGCACCCACCAACAAUUUAUUCAGGCUACACGAUCUCCAAUUUCUGAGCUACAUAUAUACAGUAGUACUCCAGAUUCUUCUCGAUCGUACGGUUCUUAGAGGUAUGGCCGUUUCAGCUCGAGUCUUCACGCUCUUGCUGCUCGCAGCUGCCGGUUGGGUGCCGGCCAUGGCAGCUAAUGCUCCUGCACCAACCGGGUGGCUGAAGGCGCAUGCCACCUUCUACGGAGGCGCUGAUGCCUCCGACACCAUGGGUAAGCUAGCUGUGUGCUGGCCGACGAUAUCACAUCCGUCAUCGUCUGAUCUAAUAAUGUAUAUAUGUAUGUAUUGAUGGCAGGCGGCGCGUGCGGGUAUGGGAACCUCUACUCCCAGGGCUAUGGUACGCGGACGGCGGCGCUGAGCACGGUCCUCUUCAACGACGGCGCCUCGUGCGGGCAGUGCUACAAGAUCGCUUGUGACCGCAAGAGAGCUGAUCCGAUGUUCUGUAAACCUGGUGUCACGGUGACCGUCACGGCCACAAACUUCUGCCCACCCAACAUGGCGCUGCCCGAGGGGGGUUGGUGCAAUCAGCAUCGCCCGCACUUCGACAUGGCGCAGCCGGCAUUUGAGAAGAUCGGCGUGUACAGCGGCGGUAUUAUCCCCGUCAUGUACAAGAGGUAUAUAUUUUUAUGUCAUUUCCUACAUACCUCUUCCAAGCUAGCUUCAAUCUAUCAUAAAUAAAACAGAAAAAUUAAUGGGAUGCAAUGCAAUAUCCUAAUACUACAACUAAUUCCUUGCUUGUAGAGUUCCUUGCGUGAAGCGAGGUGGCGUCAGGUUCAGCGUCAACGGCCAUGACUACUUCAAUCUUGUGCUUGUAACCAAUGUUGCGGCUGCCGGCUCCAUCAAGUCCAUGGAAGUCAAGACGUCCAAUUCAAGUAACUGGUCUCCAAUGGCACGUAACUGGGGUGCAAACUGGCACUCUCUUGCAUAUCUUACAGGGCAGAUGCUCUCAUUUAGGCUCACAGACACGGAUGGGCAAACUAUUGAAUUCACAGAUGUGGUGCCACAAGGAUGGAAGUUUGGCCAAACAUUUGCAUCCAAGUUGCAGUUCAUGUGAUGAUGAGAGCUCCAUCAUCCAGGAUUAUUAUUUAUAGGAGUUUGAUUUAAAGAUGUAUAACUGGUCAAAAUGCAUGAAUAAUGGAGUUGCUUGUAUAUUGUACUUGUACUCAUCAGCCAACGCUAUAUGUAUGGCUUUGUAUCUCUCAUUCUUCCUAUUGUACAGUCCUAUGUUUUAUUUUUUAUGGUGUAUAUAAAUAUGUUCAGUUUAUGUCUUCAGUAAUUCUGUUGUACCAAUGUAAACGUACAAUGGUUACAUGAGUUAUUGCUAAUACAAUAAUAACUUUGCUGGAUAUUCUGUCGAGCAACAAUUAUGAAUGCCAACGAACCGAUAUCAACCAAAUCGAGGCUAUAACACCCUCAUGACAGUGGUUAUAGUUCAAUGUAAUAAUAGGUCGAACUCCAUAAAUGAUAACAUAAAAUGCUUUUAAUAAUUAGGUUGUUGUGUUUCCAAUGAAACUUUAGGAUUAGAAUGAUACUUGUCGUUGAAUUCCCUGGUGCUAGUACAUCUCAAGAUUAUUGAUAAAGUCGCCAUAAAUAUUUUACUGUUAAGAGGCAUGUGGUCUACCACUAAAACAUGCACUCAAUAGAUCUUAGGAUUAACCAAAAUCCAAACCGACAGAUUACGCGAUAAUAAAUCCAACCAACUACACUCUUUAACUAUUCGUAUGGUACUUAAUUUGCCUUGAGUUUCCUUGGUCCUACAUCAAGGGAUCAUUCUUUAGAGUACUACCAUGUUAUGAUAAGUCUUGAAUUUAUUCAGUUGUUAAGGAUCUGCUGACACAAAUUGUUUUUUUGUGAAUGUGCCUGAGCAUGUGUUUCAUUAAGAGAAAAAGAAUUACACAAUGUUGCUCCAAGAGAACCCUGUAGCUCAGACUACAAAUAGCAAAGCUAGUGGUUAGAAACCUAGAUCGACCAAAAGCAACUAGAGAAAGAAGAGACGACUGGAAAAGGACCCUCUACCUCAAAACUAUAAUCGACUAGAUGUGUGAAAGGAAGAUUACACCAACAAUGGUUGCCAACAAAGAAGAUGAAGCUGCGGUGGCAAAGCAUACACUGAUAAGAGACAAGAUAAACAUUUGGCAUUAACGACAGCAAAGCAUCCUCCAAAGAUGACCGGGGCAACAAAAGCGACAAAGCAUCUGCAUGUGAAGAGUCCACCAUGUUCUCGGCAACAAAGCAUCUUCCUGAGAGGGGGGACUGAGGUGACGUCGAUGGCAAAACAUCUACCUUGAGUAGCAAUGAUGGCAAAGCAUCUACCGAAGAAGAGCGGUCGUGGCAAAGAAUCCGCCAAGAAGAAGAGCGGUGGUGGCAAAGUAUCUGCACACACGGGCAAAGACUGCAAGGAUAGUGAGAGGAGUCAAAGAUGUAAGAGGCACGACUAUAGGAGUGCUCCAAUUAUGCCUUCAUGAAGGGUAGUGACAUCCGCAAACGCUACUAUCAUUGAAAAUAAGCACAAGAGUAGGAUCUUCGCCCCAAGGCCUACUCGAGCGACAUGCCCAAUGAAUAGAAUCUUCAACGAUGUCUCUGAGAAGAUAGAUAAAGCAAGUUACGCCAUCAUUGCUCCCUAGAGUAAGAAGUAGGGUGGGGUUUUCAUCGAGAAUCCACUCGUCCAUAGAUAUAUAUAUAUAUAGGCACAGGACAUGGCCACCCGAAGCAGCCCGAGCACAGGCCGCAAGUAGGUGAGGGCGCAAGCACUGGCCAUGGAGGACCCAAGCCACCAAGGACAAUAGCACAAACACGGCCUCAAUGCUGUCGUGCAAGAGCAUGAGCAUUCAUCAGGGACUCGCCUCCAGAGCACAUGAAUGACGAUCCCUAGUAGCACCACCAGGGGCUAGUAGGAUUCAUACGACUCCAACAAGGAGGAGGUAGCACGCUAGCAACUUCAGGAAGCACCCCUGCGUGGAGGAGGCCACCUAGGAGCCAUGCCCAACCCAGUGCCUCGUGGGAUCCACGAGGCCUGCCACGUAGGACGCCGCCAUGCUGGCCAUCGCUACACCUAUAGUAAACGCAAAGGGUACCACCGUUGUACCACACUCUAAAUCCGGGGAGAAAGGUGGGAGAUCUAGGCCUAGAUCCCCCGAAAGUCACUAGACACCCACUCAACAAAAGAUGUAGGGAAGAGGAGCAGCAUUAACGACAACAAAGCAUCCUCUAAAGAUGACCGGGGCAACAAAAGCGACAAAGCAUCUCCAUGUGAAGAGUCCAUCAUAUUCUCGGCAACAAAGCAUCUUCCUAAGAUGGGGGACUGAGGUGACGUCGAUGGCAAAACAUCUACCUUGAGUAGCAAUGAUGGCAAAGCAUCUACCGAAGAAGAGCGGUCGUGGCAAAGAAUCCACCAAGAAGAAGAGCGGUGGUGGCAAAGUAUCUGCACACACGGGCAAAGACUGCAAGAAGCAGCUCUAUUUAGAGGAGUCAAAGAUGUAAGAGGCACGACUAUAGGAGUGCUCCAAUGAUGCCUUCAUGAAGGGUAGUGACAUCCGCAAACGUUACUAUCAUUGAAAAGAAGCACAAGAGUAGGGUCUUCGCCCCAAGGCCUACUCGAGCGACAUGCCCAAUGAAUAGAAUCUUCAACGAUGUCUCCAAGAAGAUAAAUAAAGCAAGUUACACCAUCAUUGCUCCCUAGAGUAAGAAGUAGGGUGGUGUUUUCACCGAGAAUCCACUCGUCCAUAGAUAUAUAUAUAGGCACAGGAUAUAGCCACCCGAAGCUGCCCGAGCACAGGCCGCAAGUAGGUGAGGGCGCAAGCACUGGCCAUGGAGGACCCAAGCCGCCAAGGACAAUAGCAUGAACACGGCCUCAAUGCUGUCGUGCAAGAGCAUGAGCAUUCAUCAGGGACUCGCCCCUAGAGCACAUGAAUGAUGAUCCCUAGUAGCACCACCAGGGCCCAGUAGGAUUCAUACGACUCCAACAAGGAGGAGGUAGCACGCUAGCAACCUCAGGAAGCACCCCUGUGUGGAGGAGGCCACCUAGGAGCCAUGCCCAACCUAGUGCCUUGCGGGGAUCCACGAGGCCUGCCACGUAGGACGCCGCCGUGCUGACCAUCGCUACACCUGUAGUAAACGCAAAGGCUACCACCGUUGUACCACACUCUAGAUCCGGGGAUAAAGGUGGGAGAUCUAGGCCUAGAUCCCCCAAAAGUCACUAGACACCCACUCAACCAAAGAUGUAGGGAAGAGGAGCGGCAUUAACGACAGCAAAGCAUCCUCUAAAGAUGACCGGGGCAACAAAAGCGACAAAGCAUCUACAUGUGAAGAGUCCAUCAUGUUCUCGUCAACAAAGCAUCUUCCUGAGAGGGGGGACUGAGGUGACAUCGAUGGCAAAACAUCUACCUUGAGUAGCAAUGAUGGCAAAGCAUCUGCUGAAGAAGAGCAGUCGUGGCAAAGAAUCCGCCAAGAAGAAGAGCGGUGGUGGCAAAGUAUCUGCACACACGGGCAAAGACUGCAAGAAGCAGCUCUAGUGAGAGGAGUUGAAGAUGUAAGAGGCACGAUUAUAGGAGUGCUCCAAUGAUGCCUUCAUGAAGGGUAGUGACAUCCGCAAACGUUACUAUCAUCAAAAAGAAGCACAAGAGUAGGAUCUUCGCCCCAAGGCCUACUCGAGCGACAUGCUGUUGACGGUCCUUAAUGCUCACAUUUAACCAUCAACUAAUCAUGGAAAAGGACCUAUAUGCAACCAACAUCCAAAAUUAGGGUUUCAUCUGACAGAAUUCCACGAGUUUUGGUGUUUGUCUAUUUCUGUAGGGGGUUAUCAGGAAAUAUGGAGGAAAGGCCCACACGUCGGGUUUACAUUGAGAUAUUAACGUGUGCGCCAAUUAUCUAUCAUCUAGAAGACUCCAGAAGCCACAGGAACGAGCAGGAGGCCGAACGGGCCCGGGGGCUGGGCACUCGCCCUCCCCCUAGGGCGCCCGCCCAGCUACAGGAGCCAAUCAGGCUCCGUCUCGCGGAUCAUGCUCCACCGACCUAAAGGAUUAAGGAAAACCGUGCGAUUAAGAUCGGUUUGAUCCGACGGCCCAUAUUCGUUUGAUCCCCUGGCCCCUGGAGGACAUAUCUCUUCUAUAGAGUCAAAGCUAGGGUUUUGAAUUAUUCAUCCAAGUAGAGAGGAUCUCUCUAGUUCAUCUAGUUCUAGUUCAUCUAGUUCUAGUUCUAGUUAGUUCUAGUUGUAAUCUAGAAAAUAGGGAGUGUAACACCCUAGGUGUUAAGCAUGAAUUUAGCCCUAUCACCACAUGCAUAAGCAUUCUCAUCAAGCAUAGCAUCAUGAGCAUGUCAUUCAUCCCAAAACAUGAUUUUAUGUGCUUUAUUUCAUGUGUUUUAAUUAUGAUAAAAUAUGAUGCUUGCUUCUAAAAAUGUGAAAUAUUCAAACUAGGUUGAUUUAUGUGUAAGAAGGAUUUAGAGUAUUUUUGUGCAAUUUUUGGAGCUAUGGAAUUUGAGAAAUGGAAUUUAUACAAGAUUUCCAAAUUGAAUUUAUUUAAAAACCUAGAACUAAGUUUUAAUUUGUAAUUCAAAUUCUAUUUAGAAUUUGGUCUUGCUUAUUAAAGCAAAGUUGUAGAGUUUUUGUUUUGGAACAACAUUGUUUUUGGGAGCAAGAGGUAAAAAUGAUUUUAAAUUGGUCCAAAUGAAUUUAGAAAGAAUUUGGAGAAAAAAAAUUCAAAAAAAAAGAAAGGGGCAGGCGCUGUUGGGCCAACCCCGCUUCCCUUUCGGCCCAGCGAGCGGCCCGGCCUGCCUCCCCUUUCCCCUCUCUCCCGCACGCGCGGCGCCCACCUCGCUCCACCCGGCGCCGGCCACGUGGCGGCCGUACGCCGGCCUUGGACGCGCCGCGGCCGGCCUCCAACCCCCCCUGGUCGGGACGCCGGCUCGGGCUCCCAGGCCAUUUCCUCCGUUCUGUCCCCCGCGCCCUCCUUCUCCUUCCUCCCUCCGCUCGCACCGCGCAGCAGCAGCUCCUCCGCGCGCCAUCGCCGGAGAAAGCCCCGCCGCUCGCCGCCGACCGCACCAGAGCCUCAAGCUCACCGCCGAGAGCACCAGCGCCUUCGCCAUCGUUAGGGUAAGCUUGUGCGCGCGUUCUACCGAGGUGAGAGUCCGUCGAGCGCCGUGAAUCGCUCGCCGGAGUUACCCCGAGCUCGCCGGAGUGCUCCGCCGCGACGGAUCUUGUGUUUCUCUGCCUCAUUUCGCUGGUUCUUGGGUGCGCUAGGUCGGUAGGGUGGUGAGGAAGCUCGGAGAGCCGGUUGCGCACGCUCUACCGCACCGGAGCGGCCUGGCCGCGGCGAGCAGCGCCGCCGUGCCGCCAUGCAUGCUCGUCGGAGGUGUUCCGGUCAUCCUCCGGCCAAUCCAAGGGUACCGUUGGGUGCGCCUCGCUGCGGGGAGCACGUUGGUGCUUACCCCGUGGCCGGAGACCUCACCGCCGGCGAGAUCUGCUCGUCGGAGGUGAGCUCCCUCUCGGUCUCGCUGACCGGUGGGGUCGGGGACCCACUGUCAGUCGCAGGGGGAUCCCGGUGGGUGUAGAUCUGGGUGUGUGUAGCCUUUUUCGUCGGUUUUCUUGAAUAAAAGUUUUCUAGAAAUUGAUUUAAAACUUGUAAAAUUCAUAUCUUGAGUUCUACAGCUCCAAAUUGGAUGAAAUAAAUUUUGGUGUGUUCUAUAUUUCUAGAUCUACAGUUUGAUGUAAUUGCAUGUCAUGUUUGAAUAACUUUUCUGUAUGAAUGUAUUUAAUCUAUGUUUUUGCUAAAUUUGGGAAAUGCAUAGUAAAUAAAAUAUGGUUCAGAAAAAUGUGAAACUUGAUUUGUUGGCUCUGCAUGUAUGUUUACUCACUGGGAAAAUAUUGCUACAUAUUAUUUGGUGUAUAAAUGAAUUUAUGGUAAUUUAAAUACUUGCAUGGCAGUGAUUUAUGAUUUUUAAUAAUUAAUUGGAUCAUGCAAUAAAUCUGGAAAAUUUUGUGGGUGUUUCUUAUGAUAUUAGACAAAUUAUAAAAAAUAUGAAAUCUGUUGUUUGACACUUAUAUCAUAGUAGAGUGAUUAUACUUACCUUAUUAAUUAAUCUUGUGAUUUUUGUGACUCAAAAUAAGUAUCCAAAAAUUUUGAAAAAUUUACAGUAAACUUUAUGCUUAGCUGGUAGUCUCCUGUAAUUUUUGUGGAAUUUAUUGAUGAACAAAACUGCAUGUAAAUUUUAAAGGGCCUAGAAAUGAAUAAAGCAAAUUUUGAAUUGUUGUAUAUAUAUAUAUAUAGGUUGAAUAGAAUAAGUUGAGUUUGGUGUAUCUUUGAAGCAUCAUGAGGGUUGCUGGUUGCAUUUAAAAAAAAUAUAGUUGUGGAAGAGAAUACAAUAGAUGUUUGAUUCAAUGGUUUGUUCUUGGACGAUGUUGACUACCUUGUAAUGAGCAUGACCAAGUACAUUACAUAUGCAUCAUGUCAUGACUCCUUUGGUACUUUCUCAUACAAGCAUCCACUCGGGCAUCUCGCACUCCACUCAUAAGCACACAUGCAUCAUACAGGCUCGCAGGAGAACGAGGUGGGACCCGAGGAACCCGAGGAGACUCAGGAGCAGGAACCUCCGGAAGCACAGGAACCCGGAGAGGAACUGCAGGAGUGUCCGGAUCACCGACCCAACACGUUUGAGAAAGGCAAGCCCCGGAGCAUUCUAAGUCUCCCUAUUCUCGCUAACUUAUAUGAAGUACUAUACUUGUUCUACUAUAUUGCAUCUAAGUGAUAGGAAUUGCUUGAUACCGUUGAUGCAUAUGUACUCCUUGUUAUCCCUACUCGUUCACCUACCUUGUCCUAUGUAGAUAGGCACGGAGUCUAUGCUUAGCUUGCUUAGUCCGGUAGAAGUCGGGUGAUUUCCUGUCACCUGCGAGAUAUAGGUGGAUACCUGCUUGAUUAAGCAUUGGUUGCUCGGGGAAAAGAAUAACCAAGUGUGGAUUGAAUUUGGGGACCGGGCAGGGUCUUAUGGUGGGUUGACCAUAGUGCCCCUGCCUGUGUCGAUUAAGGACCGAUCGUUGACGGCCCUCUUGUCAUGUUGAACGCAUGCCCCACAUUUAGCUGGAAGGAUAAGUCGUUCCGACCGCGAAGCCUGAGCACUAUCCGGGCCGGGAAUCGGCCCGAUGUACGCGCUGUAUUGGUGAUGGUUGAGGAGAACGACGAGGGCGCGGCGCACAACCUUGGUAUACCUUGGAUACCUCGGUCGCCGGAACGGUCCUCGGGUACGGGCGGUGCCUGUCGAACCCGCGAAUUGGUCCUGGAUAGUGCAAUACGGUGACCUGUAGCUCGCUUGAUCAGUGAGUGUGGUUUGUGUGGGGAAUAAACUCGCCAGCUGGUUAGAAAUCGAUUCGAAUCGCCAUCGCUCUUGGAUAGUGAGCACUUGACAUGAGCUUCGUCCUCGUAGUAAGGACUAUGGAACACUUGGGUUAUAAUGAAAGGGUUUAUGAAUGCUAUGAUGAAGUACUAUCAUAUCCCUAUACUUGCUUGUAAUAGUGCAUGUGCAAACCUAGAUAAUAGGUAAUGAUACUUUCAACUGGAGCAAAAUAAAAGAAGAAAGAUUUAUGUAGGUUAUGAUAGUAAAAUUUCGCGGUUUUGCAAAAUGGUUGUCAGCUACCCCACUAUAUAGCCUUCAUGAUCCUUGAUGAGUCUUUAUUUUAAGUUUAUGUCGGGUAAGUCUAGCUGAGUACCUUCUCGUACUCAGGGUUCUACUCCCAUGUUGUUUUGCAGAUGGUCAAAUGUACUAUGGUUAUUGCAUCCUCUGUCUAUACCCAGCCAUGGGUGAUGACUAGACCAAGGGCGAUGGUCACUCCGUCUCUUCUUUUGCUUUUGUGGGAAUGACCGAACUAUGGCACUGUAUCAGACUAAGCGUGUGUGUUGUAUUUUCGAACUAUGAAGCUUCCGCUACUUGAAGAACUUGGUUUGUAAUAAUUUUAAGAACUCUGAUGUAUUUUAUGAAUGUUGUAAUCUGGAUGUAUUUGUGAAUGGCGAUCGCUAAACUUAUUACGAUCUUGGCUGUUGUGCGAUGUGUGGUUUGAAAUCCUUCGAGAUUUCACGAACUACCGGGAUUAUAUGGGCUUAAGCGUGACGGUUUGACUACGCAAAUGGUCACUGUUAGGCUUAAUCUCUUAUAAUUUGGUCGGUUCUGUUACAGCUGGCAUCGGAGCAAGGUUUAGCGAAUUACUGUUCAUAAGUACGUUCUAAACAAAAUCUAAACCGGUCUAAUAAAGGAUUUUAUUAAUUAAUAAUGAUCAAGGUGUUAAACUAAGUUUUGGAAAACUAUCUAGUGUGCCAUGGUCAUAUCCUUUAUGCCCAGUUAAGGACUCUAAGGUGGCUAGUUAAGUACUGACGUGGGGGUUAAUGCAUCAUAUUUUUAUUUCGUCGCUCAUACGGCGUGCAAUAGUAUGAGUACCAUUCAUUUGAGUGGUAAUGUAUGGAUCCAUUUUUCCUCUACGCCACAGUAAGUGGGAGCUGUGAGAGCAUGAUCGGAUACACUGCCGGUCUAGGGGAGUGUUGUCAGGUACUGUGUCAUGCACACAUGUUUGGUGUGUCUUGGGAACAGUACCGCAUGUUGGGAAUUCCGUCUUGAGAGGUGAUGCCGUCAUUAGGGCGAUGAUGUGGGUAGUGACACGUCAUAUGCAUGGACGGGUGUCCGUGUAUGUGAAGUGCAUAGUUUUAAAUUCUUGUUCUGCACGAUCAUACUGUGGGUGGGCUGAAAUGAGUUUUUCUGCAGGUACACUAACCACGUUCUCGCUUAGAACGCUAGUUACGUUUUGAGAGAACGUUGUGUGCCACCGCAUAUACCGCUUAGUGUUAAUCUUUGUUUCUAAGUUUGUGAGGUCGUAAGUUCGUGCAUGCAUCAUGUUCAUGUCAUAUCAUUGCUUACUUUCCCCCUUAAUUUAAUCUGUCCCAAUUCUAAAUAAAAUAAUUAAAGGUAAUCCUCACUCUUACCCACGGUAUUCCAUUUGCAGCAGAUGGCACGCACUAGGCUCACCGCUCGCAAGUCCACUGGUGGGCGGGCCCCUCGCCAUCCGUUGGCAGCUAGGAGCUCACGACAUAAGAGCAAGUUCCUGGAGGAGUUUGGGAUGCCCACUUUGCUUUGGAGGGUGCUCAGUUCGAUGGGGUAUCCCGAAGGAAGGGAGCCUCGCUACUAUUGGGAUAAGGAGCCGCUUGGUGACGAGACCCUGGUGGGGAUCGAGGCAGUUGUCCCUACCAGUGGAGGUGACCCUGCUUGGGGCGGCUGGGUGUACGAGUCCCGAGGUGUCACGCCUUUCCACGGUGCCAGCAGGGCAGCUUUCGCAGUUCUGAGGAACCUCAUGGAGAGGUUUCCACAGGAGCUGGCCCACGCCUUCGCUGGGGUGUUUCCCCUGGGUGACCCCUACACUUCGGUGUGGGAUCAGUCCGAGGUGAACGCUCUAGAGAGGAGUGCGGAUGAGGACCAGCACAGUGACAGUGCAGCUAUGAGUGCCAUGUACGCGUUGAUGAAGACCUAUGGAGGCCUAGAGCGUUGUUUGGGUCGCUUGUCCGGGUCUCUUCUCACCGUCCAGGAUGAGAAGCGUCAGUUGCAGCGUGAGUUCGACUCUGAGGUUGAGAGGCUACAGGCAGAGUUGGCCUGUGUGACCAGAGAGAGAGAUCAGGCAGUCCAGAAGAACAGUGAGCUGAGUCGGGACCUGCUUGCAGUGCGAGAGCAGAGGGAUAGGGUGACCACUACUCACAGGAACUGCGAGCGCAUGCUAGUCCAUGUGCUUGGACAGAGGAAUGAAGCCUGGCACGAGGAGGACACUUUGAGGGCCCGACAGCUGGAGCUAGAGCAGCAGCUAGCUAAUGCUGAGGAGUACAAUGAGAACUUGUAUGAGGAGAUCCAUCAGCUGCAUAACCAGCUCCACCCUCAGCACCUGCCUAGAGCAGCUGAGCUAGACUCUGAGGACGAGAUGGACGCGGAUCCCGAGAUAGGAGCAGCUGCUAGUGGAGAUGAGGAUGAGGAUGGCUCCGGCAUGGACAGUGACCAUAGCAAGUAGAUGCUAGGGCUCUAGAGCUAGUCCUUCUUCUUGUGUUGUUGUAUGUUGCAUGGCAUGUCAUGUACUUUUGGAUCUGGGCUAUGUAAGACUUUAUGAGUUAAUGCUAAAAGUCCAGUGUAUGUAUGCUGGCGAGUUGGAUGUAGGCGAACCUUGUUGCGUGAACGUUAAGCAAUCUGUUAGUGAUGUUGUGCGUAGAUGAUGAAUUGUUGAGCCUCUAUUUAUUGUGCGAAUUUAUUCCCUCAGUAAAUUCAGUACGGCACAAUUCUACACAUUUCUACCGUUGAUGGCAACUCCUAACAAAUGCUUAUCAUUGACGUAUGCAGAUGGUGCAAACACGUGGCGGGGGUAACAGCAAUCCGGGCCUUGGAGCAGGUAGAUCCGGAGGUGGGGCUCAACGGAAUGAGGACAGAGCACCAACACCGCCACCACCACCGCCUCCUCCGUACACUGCGGACGUGUUUUUCGCGCAGUUUCUGGGGAGCCAACGCAACAUGGAACAAAUGCAGCGCAACAUGGAAGAGGCUCUGCGCAACAUAGCUGACAACACCCGUCGUGGGGAUAAUCAGGGUGGCCGAGAGGUCAACCAGUACAGUUCGUUCAAGGACUUCAUGGAUACCAAGCCACCAAUCUUCAAAGAGGCUUUGGAACCGCUUGAGGCAGAUGAGUGGAUCAACACUAUGGAGCAGAAGUUUCAUCUUCUCCGAAUGACAGAAGAACUUAAGGCUGAGUAUGCGGCACAUCAGUUGCAAGGACCCGCUGGGAUUUGGUGGUCCCAUCACCGUACCACCUACCCAGAGGGGACCCCAAUCACCUGGAACCGCUUCACCACCGCUUUCCAGGGAAAUUACAUUCCUCCGGGUGUGGUUGAAAUGAAGGUUGGGGAGUUCAUGAGGCUGUCCCAGGGGACGAAAUCUGUGAAGGAGUAUCUACACGCUUUCAAUAAUCUCGCUCGCUAUGCCCCUGAGUUUGUAAACACGAAGGCUAAGAAGAUUUCUAGUUUCCAGAGAGGCUUGAACCCAAAGAUGCUGAAGACCAUGGGUACAGGGGCCAGGGCUACCUUCAAUGCCUAUAUCAGUGACUGUCUGACACAAGAGAACAAUAACAACAACUACAGUGCAUCCAAGUCACGUAAGAGGGCUUUUGAAGCCGGAUCAUCCUAGUCCAGGGCACCAGUGGCAGGGCGACAGCAGUAUCGUCCUCCUGCCCCAGGUGCUAGGUUCCGCCCGCCGCAGAGAAGGAACACCGGGCAUCCAACACAGCAGAAGCCGUACAAGGUGGCGAUAGCCCCUGCCAAGCCAAAGGCAAUUCAAGCUGCAGCACCUGCCGUCAACAAUGCGCCCAAGGGUCCGUGCUAUAACUGCCACAAGAUGGGGCACUUUGCUAAGGAAUGUCCCUACCCCAAGAGGCAGCAGCCAACCUAUCCAGCUCGUGUGCACCAUACCUCGAUCGAGGAGAUCCCGGAAGGAGAACCGGUAACAGCUGGUAUGUUUCCUGUCAACCAACAUCUCGCAGUUGUUUUGUUUGAUUCUGGAUCAUCGCAUUCAUUCAUGAGCCAAGCAUUUGCACAAAAACAUGACCAGCCAGUUACUGAGUUAGGUUAUGGCUACCGCAUCAGCUCAGCCGGAGCCGAUGUGUUGACUAAUAAAACAGUAACAGGAGUUACUUUGGAUAUCGGUGGCCGGAGGUUUCGCGUAAACCUUGUGGUCAUGCCAGGACUGGUUUUGGAUGUCAUCAUUGGAAUGAACAAGAUGACUGACUGGGGCGCGGUUAUAGACGCCGGGAAUAGAACCCUUUCCCUCAGAGACCCGCAAGGGAAGGGUGUGCUUCAGGUCAAGCUACCCCGACGGUUGGACUUCGCCAGUCUUUCGUGUGCAGUGCAGGUAGUUCCACUAGAACACAUACCUGUGGUAUGUGAGUUCCCUGAUGUUUUUCCUGAGGAAUUACCAGGACUUCCCCCAGAUAGGGAAGUAGAGUUUGCAAUCGAGUUGAUACCAGGUACAGCACCAAUAUCGAGAAGGCCGUACCGGAUGCCACCAAACGAACUCGCUGAGUUGAAGAAUCAACUAAAAGAGUUACUGGAUAAAGGGUUCAUCCGGCCAAGCUCGUCGGAAUGGGGUUGUCCCGCAUUGUUUGUGAAAAAGAAGGAUCAGUCAUUGCGCAUGUGCGUGGACUAUCGUCCACUCAAUGCAGUGACAAUCAAGAAUAAGUAUCCUUUGCCAAGGAUUGAUAUCCUGUUUGAUCAGUUGUCCAAGGCAAGAGUGUUUUCUAAGAUAGAUUUGAGGUCUGGGUAUCACCAAAUCAAGAUUCGUCCGCAAGACAUCCCGAAGACUGCUUUUUCCACCAGAUAUGGGUUGUAUGAGUAUCUUGUCAUGUCCUUUGGAUUGACGAAUGCUCCUGCAUACUUUAUGUAUCUGAUGAAUUCAGUCUUUAUGCCAGAAUUGGAUAAGUUUGUUGUGGUGUUUAUUGAUGAUAUUCUGGUUUAUUCAGAAAAUGAGCAAGAUCACGCCGAGCAUCUGAGAAUCGUGCUGACACGAUUACGAGAGCAUCAGUUAUAUGCCAAGUUCAGCAAGUGUGAGUUCUGGUUGAAGAAAGUUCCUUUCCUAGGGCACAUUCUGUCUGAAGAAGGGAUUGUUGUGGAUCCAUCAAAAGUGCAGGAAGUCAUGGACUGGAAGGCACCAACUUCUGUCUCGGAAGUUAGAAGUUUUCUUGGUCUGGCCGGGUAUUAUCGUCGUUUCAUACCUGACUUCUCCAAGAUUGCUAAGCCAAUGACAAGUUUGCUACAAAAGGAUCACAAGUUUGUCUGGACGGAAGGGUGUGAGUUAGCCUUCCGCACCUUGCGAAAGUUGCUAACCACUGCUCCCGUUCUGGCGCAACCUAAUAUAGAAAAGCCUUUUGAUGUGUUUUGUGACGCAUCGAAGAGUGGCCUGGGGUGUGUGUUGAUGCAAGAUGGCAGGGUGAUAGCUUAUGCUUCCCGACAGUUGAGAAAGCACGAAGUCAACUACCCAACGCACGACCUCGAGUUAGCCGCAGUAGUGCACGCUUUGAAGAUUUGGAGACAUUAUCUGCUGGGAAAUAAGUGUCACAUUUAUACCGAUCAUAAGAGUUUGAAGUACAUCUUCACUCAGUCCGAGCUAAAUAUGAGGCAACGACGGCGGUUAGAGUUAAUCAAGGACUAUGAUCUGGAAGUUCACUAUCAUCCAGGCAAGGCUAAUGUAGUAGCAGAUGCGUUGAGUCGUAAACCGCACUAUCAAGUGGUUCAACCGUUGUUUGAAGAUGGGUUCAAUCUUAUGCAUCCUGAGGUCUUAUGUCACAUACAACUCAGUUGUUCACUCGAGAGUCAAGUCAUUGAAGGACAGAAAUCAGACAAGGGUAUUUUCCACAUCAAAGAGAAGAUCAAAGAUGACCCAAAAACUCAAUUUCGAGUUGAUGAAAAAGGGGUACUGUGGUUUCAACAUCGGUUAGUAGUCCCGAAGGAUCGGGAAUUGAAGAAUCGCAUCAUGGAUGAAGCCCAUCUCUCUAAGCUUUCUAUUCAUCCUGGCAGUAGCAAAAUGUAUCAAGAUCUAAGACCCCACUUUUGGUGGACCAAGAUGAAGAAAGAAAUAGCCGCAUAUGUAGCCCGUUGCGACACAUGUUGCAGAGUUAAGGCCAUCCAUAUGAAACCUGCAGGUCUGUUGCAACCGUUAUCAGUUCCAGAGUGGAAAUGGGAAGAGGUCAGUAUGGACUUUAUCACAGGUUUACCAACCAUGAGGAAGGGGAAUGGCUCGAUUUGGGUAAUCAUAGAUCGGUUAACCAAGUCGGCUCAUUUCAUUCCAGUUAAGAACACAUACAGACCUCCCGAGUAUGCCGAUAUAUAUAUGGCUGAGAUUGUCAAGUUGCAUGGUAUUCCCAAGACCAUCAUAUCAGAUAGAGGACCACAGUUCACCGCUCACUUCUGGGAGCGAAUGCAUAAGAAUUUGGGAACCAGUCUGAUAAGGAGCACGGCGUAUCAUCCCCAGACUUCAGGCCAAACGGAGUGGUUAAAUCAAGUGUUAGAAGAUAUGCUGAGGGCCUGUGUGCUAUCGUCCAAAGGAUCAUGGGAGUCAUGGUUACCUCUGGCUGAAUUCUCCUACAAUAACAGUUGUCAAGAGAGCAUCAAGAUGGCACCGUUCGAAGCCUUGUAUUGUCGAAGGUGUAGAACUCCGUUAAAUUGGGUUGAACCUGGUGAGAGAAGAUACUAUGGUAUCGACUUCGUGAAUGAGGCAGAGAAGAAGGUACAAAUCAUACAACAGCAUAUGCGCGCAGCGCAAUCACGACAAAAGAGUUAUGCUGAUAAGAGAAGAAGGCCACUUGAAUUCAAAGUAGGUGACUAUGAGUACCUCAAGGUUACGCCGAUGAAGAAAGUCCAGCGUUUCCGAGUUCGAAGCAAGCUUGCACCCAGAUAUGUGGGACCGUACCAAAUACUGGAGAGAAAAGGCCCCGUGGCCUACAAGAUUCAGUUACCUGAAGAGUUGAGCUUGAUCUUUCCGGUUUUCCAUGUGUCGCAACUGCGGAAAUGUUUGAAAGUACCUGAGCAAAGAAUUGAACCUCGAGGGAUCAAAAUAAAAGCAGAUUUAGAGUAUAAGGAGCAACCAGUGGGAAUUGUGGAUACCAAGGAACGGGUAACCCGAAACAGAAUUGUCAGAACAUAUAAGGUGGUGUGGAGUCAUCAUGACGAUAGGGAUGCCACCUGGGAAACAGAGGAUUACUUGAAAACAGUUUAUCCAAAAUUUCAUAAGAAAUGGUUAGUAACCCAAAAUCUCGGGACGAGAUUUCCCUAAGGGGGGAAGGGCUGUAACACCCUAGGUGUUAAGCAUGCAUUUAGCCCUAUCACCACAUGCAUAAGCAUUCUCAUCAAGCAUAGCAUCAUGAGCAUGUCAUUCAUCCCAAAACAUGAUUUUAUGUGCUUUAUUUCAUGUGUUUUAAUUAUGAUAAAAUAUGAUGCUUGCUUCUAAAAAUGUGAAAUAUUCAAACUAGGUUGAUUUAUGUGUAAGAAGGAUUUAGAGUAUUUUUGUGCAAUUUUUGGAGCUAUGGAAUUUGAGAAAUGGAAUUUAUACAAGAUUUCCAAAUUGAAUUUAUUUAAAAACCUAGAACUAAGUUUUAAUUUGUAAUUCAAAUUCUAUUUAGAAUUUGGUCUUGCUUAUUAAAGCAAAGUUGUAGAGUUUUUGUUUUGGAACAACAUUGUUUUUGGGAGCAAGAGGUAAAAAUGAUUUUAAACUGGUCCAAAUGAAUUUAGAAAUAAUUUGGAGAAAAGAAAUUCAAAAAAAAGAAAGGGGCAGGCGCUGCUGGGCCAACCCCGCUUCCCUUUCGGCCCAGCGAGCGGCCCGGCCUGCCUCCCCUUUCCCCUCUCUCCCGCACGCGCGGCGCCCGCCUCGCUCCACCCGGCGCCGGCCACGUGGCGGCCGUACGCCGGCGUUGGACGCGCCGCGGCCGGCCUCCAACCCCCCCUGGUCGGGACGCCGGCUCGGGCACCCAGGCCAUUUCCUCCGUUCUGUCCCCCGCGCCCUCCUUCUCCUUCCUCCCUCCGCUCGCACCGCGCAGCAGCAGCAGCUCCUCCGUGCGCCAUCGCCGGAGAAAGCCCCGCCGCUCGCCGCCGACCGCACCAGAGCCUCAAGCUCACCGCCGAGAGCACCAGCGCCUUCGCCAUCGUUAGGGUAAGCUUGUGCGCGCGUUCUACCGAGGUGAGAGUCCGUCGAGCGCCGUGAAUCGCUCGCCGGAGUUACCCCGAGCUCGCCGGAGUGCUCCGCCGCGACGGAUCUUGUGUUUCUCUGCCUCAUUUCGUUGGUUCUUGGGUGCGCUAGGUCGGUAGGGUGGUGAGGAAGCUCGGAGAGCCGGUUGCGCACGCUCUACCGCACCGGAGCGGCCUGGCCGCGGCGAGCAGCGCCGCCGUGCCGCCAUGCAUGCUCGUCGGAGGUGUUCCGGUCAUCCUCCGGCCAAUCCAAGGGUACCGUUGGGUGCGCCUCGCUGCGGGGAGCACGUUGGUGCUUACCCCGUGGCCGGAGACCUCACCGCCGGCGAGAUCUGCUCGUCGGAGGUGAGCUCCCUCUCGGUCUCGCUGACCGGUGGGGUCGGGGACCCACUGUCAGUCGCAGGGGGAUCCCGGUGGGUGUAGAUCUGGGUGUGUGUAGCCUUUUUCGUCGGUUUUCUUGAAUAAAAGUUUUCUAGAAAUUGAUUUAAAACUUGUAAAAUUCAUAUCUUGAGUUCUACAGCUCCAAAUUGGAUGAAAUAAAUUUUGGUGUGUUCUAUAUUUCUAGAUCUACAGUUUGAUGUAAUUGCAUGUCAUGUUUGAAUAACUUUUCUGUAUGAAUGUAUUUAAUCUAUGUUUUUGCUAAAUUUGGGAAAUGCAUAGUAAAUAAAAUAUGGUUCAGAAAAAUGUGAAACUUGAUUUGUUGGCUCUGCAUGUAUGUUUACUCACUGGGAAAAUAUUGCUACAUAUUAUUUGGUGUAUAAAUGAAUUUAUGGUAAUUUAAAUACUUGCAUGGCAGUGAUUUAUGAUUUUUAAUAAUUAAUUGGAUCAUGCAAUAAAUCUGGAAAAUUUUGUGGGUGUUUCUUAUGAUAUUAGACAAAUUAUAAAAAAUAUGAAAUCUGUUGUUUGACACUUAUAUCAUAGUAGAGUGAUUAUACUUACCUUAUUAAUUAAUCUUGUGAUUUUUGUGACUCAAAAUAAGUAUCCAAAAAUUUUGAAAAAUUUACAGUAAACUUUAUGCUUAGCUGGUAGUCUCCUGUAAUUUUUGUGGAAUUUAUUGAUGAACAAAACUGCAUGUAAAUUUUAAAGGGCCUAGAAAUGAAUAAAGCAAAUUUUGAAUUGUUGUAUAUAUAUAUAUAUAGGUUGAAUAGAAUAAGUUGAGUUUGGUGUAUCUUUGAAGCAUCAUGAGGGUUGCUGGUUGCAUUUAAAAAAAAUAUAGUUGUGGAAGAGAAUACAAUAGAUGUUUGAUUCAAUGGUUUGUUCUUGGACGAUGUUGACUACCUUGUAAUGAGCAUGACCAAGUACAUUACAUAUGCAUCAUGUCAUGACUCCUUUGGUACUUUCUCAUACAAGCAUCCACUCGGGCAUCUCGCACUCCACUCAUAAGCACACAUGCAUCAUACAGGCUCGCAGGAGAACGAGGUGGGACCCGAGGAACCCGAGGAGAUUCAGGAGCAGGAACCUCCGGAAGCACAGGAACCCGGAGAGGAACUGCAGGAGUGUCCGGAUCACCGACCCAGCACGUUUGAGAAAGGCAAGCCUCAGAGCAUUCUAAGUCUCCCUAUUCUCGCUAACUUAUAUGAAGUACUAUACUUGUUCUACUAUAUUGCAUCUAAGUGAUAGGAAUUGCUUGAUACCGUUGAUGCAUAUGUACUCCUUGUUAUCCCUACUCGUUCACCUACCUUGUCCUAUGUAGAUAGGCACGGAGUCUAUGCUUAGCUUGCUUAGUCCGGUAGAAGUCGGGUGAUUUCCUGUCACCUGCGAGAUAUAGGUGGAUACCUGCUUGAUUAAGCAUUGGUUGCUCGGGGAAAAGAAUAACCAAGUGUGGAAUGAAUUUGGGGACCGGGCAGGGUCUUAUGGUGGGUUAACCAUAGUGCCCCUGCCUGUGUCGAUUAAGGACCGAUCGUUGACGGCCCUCUUGUCAUGUUGAACGCAUGCCCCACAUUUAGCUGGAAGGAUAAGUCGUUCCGACCGCGAAGCCUGAGCACUAUCCGGGCCGGGAAUCGGCCCGAUGUACGCGCUGUAUUGGUGAUGGUUGAGGAGAACGACGAGGGCGCGGCGCACAACCUUGGUAUACCUUGGAUACCUCGGUCGCCGGAACGGUCCUCGGGUACGGGCGGUGCCUGUCGAACCCGCGAAUUGGUCCUGGAUAGUGCAAUACGGUGACCUGUAGCUCGCUUGAUCAGUGAGUGUGGUUUGUGUGGGGAAUAAACUCGCCAGCUGGUUAGAAAUCGAUUCGAAUCGCCAUCGCUCCUGGAUAGUGAGCACUUGACAUGAGCUUCGUCCUCGUAGUAAGGACUAUGGAACACUUGGGUUAUAAUGAAAGGGUUUAUGAAUGCUAUGAUGAAGUACUAUCAUAUCCCUAUACUUGCUUGUAAUAGUGCAGGUGCAAACCUAGAUAAUAGGUAAUGAUACUUUCAACUGGAGCAAAAUAAAAGAAGAAAGAUUUAUGUAGGUUAUGAUAGUAAAAUUUCGCGGUUUUGCAAAAUGGUUGUCAGCUACCCCACUAUAUAGCCUUCAUGAUCCUUGAUGAGUCUUUAUUUUAAGUUUAUGUCGGGUAAGUCUAGCUGAGUACCUUCUCGUACUCAGGGUUCUACUCCCAUGUUGUUUUGCAGAUGGUCAAAUGUACUAUGGUUAUUGCAUCCUCUGUCUGUACCCAGCCAUGGGUGAUGACUAGACCAAGAGCGAUGGUCACUCCGUCUCUUCUUUUGCUUUUGUGGGAAUGACCGAACUAUGGCACUGUAUCAGACUAAGCGUGUGUGUUGUAUUUUCGAACUAUGAAGCUUCCGCUACUUGAAGAACUUGGUUUGUAAUAAUUUUAAGAACUCCGAUGUAUUUUAUGAAUGUUGUAAUCUGGAUGUAUUUGUGAAUGGCGACCGCUAAACUUAUUACGAUCUUGGCUGUUGUGCGAUGUGUGGUUUGAAAUCCUUCGAGAUUUCACGGACUAUCGGGAUUAUAUGGGCUUAAGCGUGACGGUUUGACUACGCAAAUGGUCACCGUUAGGCUUAAUCUCUUAUAAUUUGGUCGGUUCUGUUACAGGGAGAGAGAAGAGGAGAGCGGAGGAGGAGCCGGAUCUGUCGGAUCUUCCUCAGCAUUGUACUUUUGCAGCAACUGGUUCGUUCUUCAUCGUUCUUCAAGUUCUUCAAUUCAUAAUUCCUGAGUUCUUUAAUUACUUUUAUUUACAUUCAAGUUAUUUAUUGGAUUCCCGCUUGCAUCAAGUGCUCUAGUCUUUAUAACGCUAGAGUAGUAAUUAAUAGAUUAGACGUGGUGUUUAGUCUUACAAUUACCUGGAAUUGCACCAAAUCUUACGGAUUGUUGUGGUAGCCCUAGGGUAGUGACAGCCCUAAUGGUCGACGUAUCCCACCUUGUUCGGAUCGGUGUUUGUAGGACCAUAGUCAGAGCUUCCAAGCCCCCUUCUCAUCUCUUUGUGUGGUUAGUGUUCUGAUGUCCCAAAAUAAAUAAUCUUUGAAGUAAUUCUUGAUUCUUAGAUCAACUAGAGAACUCUGAGGAAACUUCCUCUCUUCCCACCAAAAAUAAUUAUAUAGUUAUCCUUGGGCGAUCUUGAAUCUUAAUUAGUACACUCACGUUCCCUGUGGAAAAUCGAUACUCUAGAAUACGGGUGAAAGCUACAUCGGUAUCCGUGCGCUUGCGGAUUUUUCUGUUUGCGUUUAAAAUACCCAACACAUGCCCAAUGAAUAGAAUCUUCAACGAUGUCUCCAAGAAGACAGAUAAAGCAAGUUACACCAUCAUUGCUCCCUAGAGUAAGAAGUAGGGUGGUGUUUUCAUCGAGAAUCCACUCGUCCAUAUAUAUAUAUAUAUAUAGUAGUUACUCCCACUAGAGAGUAUGCACAUGAUUCAAAUUCUAUCCCGUUAGCGGGUUGAGAAAUACAACCCGAUUUUAGUUGCCGUGAGUUUUUUUUGGACUGCAUAUAUAGUUGACCAGAAGCCAGCCGGAUAAGUAGCAUGGAAAGCGGAUCCGAUUGUCAUAUGUGCACGGAAAGCGUAUCUACACAUACUCUAGUAUAGGAGUUAUUACGUAUAUGCAUGUAUUCAAGGGAUACGUUACUUAUAGGUUUCUUAUUCGUUCAGAAUCGGUUAGUUCGUCUUUUAGUAUGGGCCCUUCACCACAGCAUUGAAUAAAGUAUGGAUGUAUACUUUAAAUAAGAAAAAUGAGUAUAUAUUUGUAUACUUGUACGUAGAAGUAUAUCCAAUAAUCUGGGAAUUAUUUUUAUUGUUUAUUUUAUACAGUAUAACUUUUUAGCAGAGUAUUAGUACGUACGCAUUAACAUGAAGCACGUACUAUUUGCGUGCAUAAAGUAUGAGUACAUACUUUUUAUAAAAAUGAGUAUGUGUGCAUACUUUGUAUUUGAAGAGUAUAUCCAUAUACUCAGGGAAAAAUAUUACUGUUAGUAUGAAGUGAUACUUCCGUGAUAGAAGUAUCUGAGGAUACAAUAAUUUGAAAAGAAAAGUAUGCAAACUUUUUUAAAUAGACUAUGCAUACAUACUAUUUAUACAAACUUUUUAGAAUAUAGUAUGUAUAGAUACUUUUGAAAUAGAAUAUGUAUACAUACGCCAAGAUUUCUACAGUAUAACAUAGUUAAAGCACACGGUCUGAGUAUUUAUACAUAUAUUUUGGAAUUUAAUUUGUACAUACUUUUUAGAAAAGUAUUUAUACAUAUUUUUUUGGAAUGGAGUACGAAUACAAUUGCCAAGAUUUAGAUAGUACAAGUGCAUACAUGGCAGGAUCAAGUAUAUGUACAUAUCAUUCAAAAAAGAAGCAUUACUACAUAUACAUACAUGUCCGUAUAGGACUGCUGAAAUGCGUAGAUGGGUAGUAUGAGUAGAAACAUGCAAGGGAGUAUGUCUAUACUAUUAACCUGGAACAUAAUAUUUGAAGUAUACUGCACGGAACAUGUAUCUAGUGAUACUCUAGUCUAAAUGUAUCGAGACUGCAUCAUGCACAAUCAUCCUGCGAAUGCCGACGAUUAAUUCUUGGAGCAGUAACACUUGAAAGCAGUGAGAGAAAUCAAGUGGUUCAAAAUCAGCAAAUCAGUAGUGUUACAAUACACUUACUACUCCCGUUCAUAGAGUAAAUGGCGCACCAUCUCUGAUCCGAACUGAAACUGGUGGCCAUCCAUCGCACGGCAUCGCCACCAAUGAUGAGAGACAGAGAGAGACAGAGCUUAGCCGUCGGCCUGCAGGGAGGGGGCACCACCACCAGAUCGAUUGCCAUCGACGCCUGUCCGCAUCCUCCGAUAAAUGGAGGAGGUGCCACCAACGGACCCUUCAAUAGGGAAUAUUUUUUUAUUUUUAGCCCAUUUUUAAAACAAAUUUCAAAUUUAGACCGUUUAGGAAAAAAAUUUCAAAACUAGGCCGUUUGGCCCCGCCACCAUGCAUGGCGGGGCAAAUACACAUGACCCCGCCAUGCAUGGCAGCGGGGUGCACUAGUGACGUGGCGCAUGGCUGGCAGAGUACGCUGACGUGUACCCCGCCGUGACUGAUGGCGGGUUUGCGCACCCCGCCGUGGAUCAUGGCGGGGCACGCCCAGGACCACCAAAAGCUCUUUCUCUCCCUCUGUCCUACCCUACCCGCGCCCGCAUCUUGUUUAGUUUAAAAAAAUUUGGAAAAUCGGUACUGUAGCACUUUCGUUUGUAUUUGACAAAUAUUGUCCAAUUAUGGACUAACUAGGGUCAAAAGAUUUGUCUCGUCAAUUUCGAUCAAACUGUACAAUUAGUUUUUAUUUUUGUUUUAUAUUUAAUACUUUAUACAUAUGUCUAAAGAUUCGAUGUGACGGAAAAUCUAAAAAAUUUUGCAAAAUUUUUUGGAACUAAACAAGGCUGACAAGACUUGGUGGUGUGGUCACGUGAACAUGCACGACCGACUCGGGAAAAGUGGCCGAACUGACCACUCAGGCCUUGUUUAGUUAUGAAAAAAUUUCGGAUUUUGCUACUGUAGCACUUUCGUUUUUAUUUGACAAAUAUUAUCUAAUUAUGAACUAACUAGUAUCAAAAGAUUCAUCUCGCGAUUUACAGAUAAAUUGUAUAAUUAGUUUUUAUUUUUGUCUAUAUUUAAUGUAUUAUGCAUAUGCCACUAUACUCAAUGUGACGGGAAAUCUAAAAAGUUUUGGGAACUAAACAUUGGGAACUAAACAAUGCCUGAACUAUGGGCGCAGCUUUAUGGACAUGAUGAUGACUACGGCUGCUGCUAGAGCUAGGCUUUGUCCAAAGCGACAUGAUGACCUUAAAACUCAAAAACUUUUCAAGAUUUUUUAUAACAUUAAAUCUUGCAGCACAUAUAUGGAAUAUUAAAUAUAGAUAAAAACAAAAACUAAUUACACAGUUUGCCAGUAAAUUGCGAGAUGAAUCUUUUGAGUCUAGUUACUCUAUGAUUGGACAAUGUUUGUCAAAUAAAAACGAAAAUGUUACAGUACCAAAACCAAAAAAAUUUCGCAACUUAAACAAGACCCUAGACUAGACUCCAUGAUGUGCUCAAUUCGUACGAGAGGACAAACAUGUCCUGUCAGCCAUGUUUAAUUUCCAAAAAAAUUUGCAAAAUUUUUCAGAUUCCCCGUCACAUCGAAUCUUAGACGUAUGUAUGAAGUAUUAAAUAUAGAUAAAAAUAAAAACUAAUUAUACAGUUUAGUCGAAAUUAACGAGACGAAUCUUUUGACCCUAGUUAGUCCAUAAUUGGAUAAUAUUUUUCAAAUACAAACGAAAGUACUACAGUAUCGACUUUUCCAAAAUUUUUUGGAACUAAACAAGUCCAGCUCUCUGCCUCGUGUGCAUUGCAUUGCUUGGUACGUACCCCGCCAUGAUCCAUGGCGGGGUAGCCCUAACCCGCCAGCGAUCAUGACGGGGUCCAGGUCAGCCACCUCGGCCAUGCAGCGCCACGUGGCAGGGUCUACCCCGCCACCAUGCAUGGCGGGGUGCAGUGUUUUUGCCCCGCCAUGCAUGGUGGCGGGGCCAAACGGCCUAGAUUUGAAAAUUUUUUAAGAAGCGGUCUAAAUUUGAAAUUUGUUUUAAAAAUGGACUAAAAAUAAAAAAAAAUUCUCAAUAGGCCACUGCGGGUGAAGUGGGAGGGUGGAGAUGAGAGCGCCGCCAUCAGUGAAGUCGGAGUCGGGAGGAAUCACCGUCUCUAGAUGCGGCUGGCCUUUCGACCGGAUUCCGCUGCUGGUGUGCCGCAAGGCCGCCUCCACCGGUGUGGCAUGGGGCCGCUGCCACCGAUAGUGUGGGCCCCGAUGCCGCCGAUGGAUUGAGGGUGAGCACGAUGAGCACCAUGGGGAAGCCGCCGCCGCCGCCGCCGGCAGCACCUGUGCUUGCGGCCAAAAGAGGGUCGAAUUUUCUUUUUUAAAGAAUCACAUGGUCAAAUUUUCUUAAGAUAUAUACAGUCCAUUAACAGGCCGGGAAGCUUUUCUCAACCCGUUAACCAGUCUACCACUACGGUCAAACAUGAGGAGAGGUUUGACGGGCGUAUGGAUGCGUGAUUAGAUGUAGGGAGUAACUACUCCUAGGGAGUAGAAAAAAUUUACCCUAUAUAUAUAUAUAUAGGCACAGGACAUGGCCACCCGAAGCGGCCCGAGCACAGGCCGCAAGUAGGUGAGGGCGCAAGCACUGGCCAUGGAGGACCCAAGCCGCCAAGGACAAUAGCACGAACACGGCCUCAAUGCUGUCGUGCAAGAGCAUAAGCAUUCAUCAGGAACUCGCCCCCAGAGCACAUGAAUGACGAUCCCUAGUAGCACCACCAGGGCCCAGUAGGAUUCAUACGACUCCAACAAGGAGGAGGUAGCACGCUAGCAACCUCAGGAAGCACCCCUGCGUGGAGGAGGCCACCUAGGAGCCAUGCCCAACCCAGUGCCUCGCGGGGAUCCACGAGGCCUGCCACGUAGGACGCCGCCGUGCUGACCAACGCUACACCUGUAGUAAAUGAAAGGCUACCACUGUUGUACCACACUCUAGAUUUGGGGAGAAAGGUGGGAGAUCUGGGCCUAGAUCCCCCGAAAGUCACUAGAUACCCACUCAACCAAAGAUGUAGGGAAGAGGAGUGGUGGUAGAAGAAGUGGAAGGUAGAAAGGAGAGGCACUAUGGAUGACACCUAGUUGAGCACUACCACUUGCUUGAUAGUGGCACUGGAGGUUGGAGGGGUGGCCGGAUAUAUAGGAGAGUUUGUGGCAGCACUGGAAUCUUUUGUGUGCGUCUCUUACGUCACAUGUCGAGGUCAUGGUUGUUCCCAAAAUGUAUGCUGAGAAAGAAAUACAUAAUGCUACAAACAAUUGAAGGUUGUUGUAGACCAUAUUUAUACUUUAAACGAUCUCAAAAUGAUUAACAUGGAUCUUCUCGACCUUGCUCCACCAACCGCUUCAUCACUUUUCGAACCAAACACCUAGAACUGAAACAACUUCACCCAAAAAAACUCCUUAAUUCACGUUGACCAGGGCCAAAGAUGGAUGGUGAAGCUGAAAAAAAACAACUUCGUUCACCCACCGGCUUCGUUGUGGUCCCGUGGAUCUAGCACACGACUGUGGAUUAGUUUAUUGAGUUACAUGCAUCGACCAAUUCAACCUAAAAGCUUUAUUGGUAAGAUGGGCAAUUCACUUUAUAUUCUAAUGUUGGCAUUUCUUAGCAUCACUUAAAAGCUGGGUUGUUAUCGCCAGCAUGAUGCUAAAAAUACUCUAUUGGUACUAAUGCAAAUUCCUUCUUGAUAUCCACAAGCGCACAAAUAUAAUACCAUUGUAGCACUUCACUAGAAGUAAACCAGAUACCGUUAUUUAUAUUUUUACCCAUGGAAAAGGAUGGCUAAGGAAAUGAUCAUCACUUACAUGUGACAAUGGAGAGGCAAACCAUGUCUUAUCUAUCUUUCUCAUAAGGGUAUAUAGUAACUACUACUGGGAGUAAAAAGGAAUUAUAUAUAUAUAUAUAUACGUGUUUUUUCUACACGCGCGUGUAGUUACUCUCAUGUCUAUAUCUCUAGAUUUAAGGUGUAUAUGAUCGAACGAAAUGUAUAUAGAGGAAAUAUAUGAUCAUACUAGAACAUAUAGGGUGAUAUGUAUGUUAAGUAUCCAUGCAUACAUAGAGUAUAUGGUUAUACUUAUUGUAUAUAAUAUAGCAUUUUAGUAAUAUAUUAAAAAUAUGAAUUCCUUUGAAAAAUUUUCGCGUGAUAAGAUCUAGAGUAUCUUAAGUAUGAGUAUAUAAACAUACUUAAACUGAUAAACAAGUAUGAACACAUACACAAUGUGGUUUAUUAAAGAUGAGAGUAACUACAUGACAUGUAGAAUGGAAUUUUCCUAUAUAUAUAUAUAUAAUGAAUAAAUGAUAAACCACAUGUAAUAAUAGAUAAACAUCUCGUCAAAGUACUCUAGUCUAUAGCACUAGCAUCAAUUAGGUAGAACUAAAGGAUAAAUCCAAUGUUAUUCUAACUGUAAGUCAAAGCAUACUAUGAUUAGUGCAAUUACACUUGGAAACAUGGCAAGACAGAUUUAUAUGUACGCAUAGGGACAUUGCUAAUUAAGAAAGAUCAAGAAUAGAGCAAUCCUUUCUUCGUAAUCAGGUCCUACAGGAUCUACAUUAGUGUCACAUCUGUGAUCUACCACAAGGCCUAGAAUAAACACAGACGAACCUAGUAUAGACACCACGCCUACACAAUGUCGACCACUCACCCAUGAGUUCAAUGAGCGAGCGCUAUAUGAUCGUAUGUUUGAAUAUAAAACUAAUCCAACUAUACCAAGCAUAUAAUCAAAGUACACUAAGAACAUUAUAAUUAAUCACAUAAGCAAAUAGAGUAAAGUCGAUCAUAUCCAAUAGAAUAGAAUAGAAUAGAAUAAAGUCAUAUUCAUUGUAGCUAGAUGAAUAAUAUGAGUAAUACAGAAAGAACUCAAAAUAGAAGACGUCACAAGGAUUUACUGAGCAAACUCUCUUGGUAGAUCUAGAAACCAAGCUGAUGCUUGCCUCCUCUAAUUCUAAACCUAUGUAGCUAGGCUUCUAAACUAUAUGGAUCUCUAGAUGAGAUUAGAUCUUUCUAGCUUUGGUGGCUUGAUCAAAUGACUUGAUGACUUUAGAUGUUGUGAAAUCCUUGAGCCAGGGCCUGAUUAUAUAUCCCCAUAGAAUGAACCGUGUCCUUUGGAUCAAACCGCCUUUUGCUAAUGGCUGAGAUGAUAGAUCAAAGACGGUUUAGCACCGACAUAGAAGCUGAGGCCGACAGGUGGACCCACACCAGGGCGGGCGCCUUGGGGUGAGGGCGGCCACCUUGCCCCUAUGGCAGGUGGGCCCCACCUAUGGUCUAGUGCCUUCUAGUUAUAUGUAGCCUCUUUAUCUCUAUGUAAACCUGACAUGUUGGUCUUCCUUGGCUCUUUUCAUAUAGAACCCUACAAAAAUAGAUAUUUACCAAAACUCAUGGAAUUCUAUCAAUGUACACCUUGUAUCUAUGUGGUGAUUGCUUUUAAGUCCUUUCUCAUGUUUCGUUGAUGGUUUAAAAUUAGAGUUAUCUACUAUCAACAUCCAACAUGUUUUGCCCCCAAAAACAACAUAGGGAGACAUUAUUGGGGCAGCACUGCUUGGGUAGUAAGCAACCCUGAGGUCUGGGGACAAUGGCACUUGGGCAUUGAAGGUGACACUAGGGGCAGUGGACAUAGGCAGAGGAGAGGUGUAAGGGGGUGGCAAUGGAGAUGAGCGGGUUUGGCGGUGGUGGAGGAGGUGAUGCGUGAGGACAGGAAGGGGCGGGAUGUGUUGCUAGAUGUGUGCUAGUAGCAUUCGUAGAGGGUGAAAAUGUUAUAUUGGUUUCUUUAGGAUUUUCUGCAUGGAGUGCUGUGCAUGACCCCCUUUUUUUGCCAUGACUGCAAUCUACAGGAAAUUUUCUAUAGGGCAUGAAGUAAUAUUCUUUUUGUGCCAUAGGUCAAGGAUGGGUCAUGUCUGUUCUUUCGCCAUAAGAGCAAGUAUUAUAGUGGGCUGUAAGCUGGCUAAAUACUGAGGUGGAGGACAGAAGGGAGGAGAGAGAGAGGAGAAGCAGGCUGUAAGCUUACAGCCAGCUUAGGCACAGGAACCAAAAACCUUGUGAGAGAGAUAAGUGGGCCAUGUAUUAAUAGUGAAUAGCUAACUAUUGUAUGGGUAGGCUGGGAGAAGACUGCAAGAAACCUUACAGGCAGCAGUGGGCUGUAUUAUUAAACUUGCUCUAAGAUAGCAUUGCUAUCGAUUUUUGGCGGUCGUCAAGAGUUGUCGACCUACACAUAAGUUUUUGGCAAUCUACGCUGCAUGAGUCUAGAUUUUUUUUGUUCCUUUUUUAAAUCUCCUUGAGAUGGAGAUGCUCGAAGAACGUGUCAUUAAUAAAUGUCACUUACACGCAGAUGGGCGCAGCCAAUAUAUAGCAGAUGUUUCGUUCAAGUCCAGGUGCAGAUCAUCACUCGUAGGUACGUGCCUCUGACGAAACAAACGACCGACGAUCGACAUCCUUUCUUAGACAAGGGGAUUAUACUAGUUGAUUAUACUAGCAAGUAUUAUAUACAUAUAUGAUCAUAUAUAACGCCCAUCUGUGGCAGCGGCGUACUUGCGUCUCUCUUGUGGAUUGCACCUUAAGCCAUGCAUAUGCUGGGGCUGCACAUAGCCAUAGAUAUGUGCACGCUAACUAGUGGAUUACCAGGCUUGCUUCGUUCGACGCACUUACCAAUUCCCAAGCUGACCUCGCGCCGCCUUGCAAUCAACCGUAAUCACGAAGGCCUCAACCGUCAUUACGAAGGCUAGUGGUGGCUGUUGUGUGUGUAUAUAUACACGACCAAUCAUCGAUUCAUCACAACAAAAUCCAUCCAUACCCAUACUUACAUAUAUAUACACACACACACCAACAAUUUAUUCAGGCAACACGAUCUCCACUUUCUGAGCUACAUAUAUACAGUAGUACUCCAGAUUCUUCUCGAUCGUACGGUUCAUAGAGGUGGUAUCUAUUAUGGCUCAAGCUCGAGUCUUCACGCUCUUGGUGCUCGCAGCUGCCGGUUGGGUGUCGGCCAUGGCAGCUAAUGCUCCGGCACCAACCGGGUGGCUGAAGGCACAUGCCACCUUCUACGGAGGCGCUGAUGCCUCCGACACCAUGGGUAAGCUAGCUAGCCGCUCAAGAACCUGCAUUGUAUAGCUUUCCUAUGCCACGAAAAUGAUGCACGCACUGUGCCGACCGAUAUCACACAUAUGUCGUCGUCUAAUCUGUUCUAAGAAUAUAUAUGUGUGUGUAUGCAUGGUGGCAGGCGGCGCGUGCGGGUACGGCAACCUCUUCUCACAGGGCUACGGCACGCGGACGGCGGCGCUGAGCACGGUGCUCUUCAACGACGGCGCCUCAUGCGGGCAGUGCUACAAGAUCGCGUGUGACCGCAAGAGAGCCGACCCCAUGUUCUGUAAACCUGGUGUCACGGUGACCAUCACGGCCACCAACUUCUGCCCGCCUAACAUGGCGCUGCCUGAGGGCGGCUGGUGCAAUCAGCAGCGCCCGCACUUUGACAUGGCGCAGCCGGCGUUUGAGAAAAUCGGCGUCUACAGCGGCGGCAUCAUCCCCGUCAUGUACAAGAGGUCUCUUUAAUUUAAUUUCCAACAUGUUCCUAGUCCGCCUCGACCUAUCAUCAUAAAAAAAAAGACAAACAAAUUGGGAUGCAAUAUCUUACGAUGACUUUCUUGCUUGUAGAGUUCCUUGCGUGAAGCGAGGUGGAGUCAGGUUCACAAUCAAUGGGCAUGACUACUUCAAUCUUGUGCUUGUGACCAAUGUUGCGGCUGCCGGCUCCAUCAAGUCCAUGGAUGUCAAGAGCUCGAAUUCGACCGAAUGGACCCCAAUGGCACGAAACUGGGGCGCAAACUGGCACUCUCUGGCCUAUCUCACAGGGCAACUGCUCUCGUUCAGAGUCACCGACACGGAUGGACAAACUAUUGAAUUCACAAACGUGGUGCCACAGGGAUGGAAGUUUGGCCAAACAUUUGCAUCCAAGUUGCAGUUCAAGUGACGAUGAGAGCUCCAUCAUCCAGGAUUAUUUCCGGUGACUCGUCACUAGUCACAGGAGUAUGAUUCAAAAAAGUUGCUGGUCAAAAUGCAUGAAUAAUGGAGUUGCUUGUGCUAGCUGUACGCUAUAUAUGUGCAUGACUUGUAUAUACCGCCUAUUCAUCAGAGCGACGGCUAUAUAUGACUUGUACCUCUCACUCUUUUUAUUUAUAUUGUAAUAAUAAUAGUCAUGUCUAAAUUCAAUUUAUAUGGUGUAUAUAAAUAUGUUCUUAAUUUUAUAUCUUCAACAAGUCUGCUGCAAUGACGGGAUUUUGUUGGCAUAUACUUGGGGCAUGUUUGUUUCAUCUUAAUUAUAAUCCCAGUUUUCACCGCACGAGACACAUCCACAUCAAAAAUGAACUAAGGACUCGCGUUUCCCAUGCCGCGUGCAGGAGGUACUGAUGCUGCAUUGCACGGCCUCCCCGCCACGGUGGCAAACACGCCGCCAUGGUGGCAAACACGCCCUUAUAUAAGCAACUACUCCCUCCAUUCCUAAUUAUAAGUCAUUCCAAAAAUAUUGGAGAGUCAAAGCAUCUUAAGUUUGACCAAAAUUAUAGAAAAAUUUACAAAGUUUUGUGACAUCAAAUAGAUAUACUAUGAAAAUAUAAUUAAUGAAGAACCUAAUAAUACUUAGUUGAUAUCAUAAAUAUUAUUAUUCUACCAUAUAAAUUUGGUCAAACUUGAAAUACUUUGACUCUCCAAGAUUCUUGGAGAGUCUUACAAUUUGGGAUGGAGGAAUAACUGUUUAUGUAAGCCUCAAGGGAUCCUGCAUACGGCAUUCUAAAAAAUUAUGCUAAGGGAUAAUGGAUCAUGUUACGAACAAGAACAAUUGAAGGUCGCCGUAGACUGUAGUGACAUUAAAUUACACCUUAAACGGUCACAUAAAGCUGUCAAUGCAUGAGAUAUCGAUGUUAAAUGCUCAAUUUAUUAUUAGGUCCUAUAUUUUCUGAGUUCUAACAGAUAGCCAAUAUCAAACAAUUGCUGCCACAAAUUUCAUGCAAAUCACAGAUACCAAACAAUUGAUGUUCACCCGGCCACUUCUGAACAGUCCUGCUGCAUGCAACUGACUCCGUUUGUACCAUUAUAAGUUGUAGUAAAAUUGAAGGAAUGGAAACUGCUGGAGGCCUUUUAGACCAUCACGUACUAGUACAACCUUUUUGGGAUUCAGAUCAAGUUUGAACCAGACUGCAAAAGGAGGCAAAAAAAAAAGGCAAAAAAAAAAGAGAGAGGAUCGCUCCCACUCAAACUGGCCUCACAAGACUCUUGGGACACGCAUGAACCAAUGGGUUAAAAAAUUCUUCCACGGCAAAACUUGACAAUUCUUGACAUAGGUCAACUCCACUUCAACUGCUAAGUUACAUUUCUGAAGAAGCUGAGACUGCCAUACAAGCAAUCGCGUUCAGGUGACAUGUGUCCACAAACAGAUUUUGCUUUCCACCCAGGAGAACUGUACAAUCUGUCAGAACCUACUCCUGUACUUACACAAACAAGGACUCUGGAACACGAAAUUACAAAAUGUAAAGUCAUCUCAGCUUCGAGUGGAUCUGAUCCUGUUCAACUGGUUUGGCUCAGUUUCCAGAAUCGAUAAUACUUGAGGCAUCGUCGUGCCCACAGAGACAACAAUUUCUGCAAUAGGAUGAUGUUUAAUAUCAAAGCAAUUCAAAGCAUACUUAUCUGAAUAUAUAAAUAAGACGGAAAAAAAAGGAAAAGAACUGUAAUGUGCAUACCAAUGCCUUCGCGAACAGACAUGUUCGGCCUAAUCACGUCACUUGAGCUGACCAGAAAUAUGUCCCCAAUAUAGAGAUGGUUGGUUGGAACAUAAACACAGUACAUCUUUUCUUCACUAGAAUAACCCUGAGUUCAAAAAGUGUAAUACAUCAGCAAUAGUUUUUACACGAACUUACAGUCCAGAUGAAUGCAGUUAAUUAUGCAAACUUUUAUCUCAGCUGUGCAUAAAAAAGGGAAUAUCCAUAUACAAUAUUACAUCCACAUUAAACUAGGUAACACAGUUUCAGGAACCAAACGCAUGAAUUGAAUCUACAUGUUUGGCUCAGAGAUUCUUUUUACUUAGGACACUGAAUGUUUUCAACUUACAAAGCAUAUGACAAUAGCACAAACUCCUGUUAUCUCUAGAUAUGUUCCUAGGAAAAAUCUGUUGUUCCACAUUUGGACAACACAUUAAGUACAAUUAACAAAUCAAGAUGAAUUUUCAGAUAGCCUGUAUCCAAUAGCUCACACCAACACCCAAAGUUCCCAAACAAAUAUUAAUUUCUGACUUUCUCAGUCUUUGUUAAUUAUAAUAGUGACUGGUUCAGCAGAUUCAUAAAUUGCUUAACUUGUUUAACAGGCAUAACCUAAAAUGUGGGGGAAAAAACCUGCAGGGAGCAGGAACUUCUAUAUGUAUGAAAAUAAUCAUGAUAUUAUGAUAAUGGUUAAUUGACCAGAUCAAAUAGUAAAAGCAUACAAACCUGAAGUAGAACUUCCGAAGUGAUAAAUCCAAAUGCAUAUUCGCCAAUUCUUGGGUGCCUAAUGAUGACCACUUCCUUGAAUGCAUGCUUGUUUUGAUCUGCAUGAAACUGUGAUUUGCUUAGAAACAUUUGAAUUAUGAUUUUUAGAAUCAUAAAAUGGCAAUGUAUCUAACCAGGUGAAAUGGCAGCACUGAUUUGCUUAGAUGCAUCAUAAAUAUGGCGAACAAAUGGCAUUCGUUUUAUGAACCACUCUCCGAGACCAAGGAUAGAUGCCCCCAGCCAAGAUGACAUGAAUACACCAACCACGAAAAUGAAAGAUAUCGAUGUUACAAAACCAAGCCCUGCAAGAAGGUAAAAAAAAAGGCAUUAAAUUUAAAAAUUUAGUGAAAAAACAAAGAUGAUUCUAAAGAUUUCCAUAUAAAGCUACUCAACGUAGAAAGAACAUCAAAGAAGAGAGGAUUCCAUGAACAUGCUAAAAGAGAGUUAGUUUGCUUAGUAUACAAUGGAACUGGGCUUUGAAUUUGGGAAAACAGGGCACUGAUAGUAAACCAAGAGGAUGGAGUUUAGGAACCAAGUUGAAGGAAAAGCUUGAACCCAUCACUAGAUUAAAAACAGUCAUUCCAAUGUCUCGCAUGCACUUGCACAGUGCAGAAAACUAUGGGCAGCAGGACAAGGUAGGCUCAUGGUCAUUGAGAGAUAUAAGCAUUAACGAUUUCAUGAACUGACAUAGCAAAACAAACAGCUAAAUAGACCAUGCGGUGUUUCCAAAGUCUAUUUGUUAUUGCAUUUUACAGAUACAUGGAAAUGCACUUAGAUGGCUAGGUCUCAAGGUUGCCCAACAUGUCAAUGAUAAUGCAGCAGUUUGGAUCCUCUGGUAAAGCUUGCCUCGUCUUGCCCAGCGAGGAUUUGCAGCUAGAUAUGUGUUUGGACUGCUGGCAAGCACACCUUGUAGGCUGCAGAGGCAAGCUUGCUGCUGUGAGGGAGCCAAUUCUGCUCUCCUAUCUUGGCAAGGCAAAGCUCGCCUGGCAAUCAAACACCCCAAUAGGUGCACACAUCACUCUUACACUAUGAAUUAAGAUUCUGCAGCAAGUCUCAUGACCAUUAUAAAAUAGACAAAGGUAAUAGUAAUCUAGACUGAAGCAAUACUUUGCUAAUAGUGAGCUACAUAAAUAAACAUUAUUAGUUUUCAAUAAAAAUUGCAUCUCACCAUAUGUACAAGUCAGAGUUCUGGUAAGUAUUCUAGAAAGUAAAUUGCAGCAACAAUCACUCUGCAUCUCAUACAUACCAAAUAUUUUGAUUCCCAAGUGAGCAUAUAUUGGGGAGAAAAAGCCAUCCACAAAACGAAAGAACCACCAUGUCACAUAGAAUGUAACUGCAAUUGGGAAGAGGAUGACACUGCAAGAGAAUUAGGGAAACCACAUCAGUUGAGUGAUCAAGAAAUAACCUGAAAAGAAUGUACCUUGCACUAAUCUCUACUUAAGCACACAACAGUACAAUAGCUUGUGAAUAUGCCAAACUAUAGUGAAGAUAAUAUGAUCAGAACAUUGGUCCAUCUCAAAUUUCAUUGUAUGCUGAUCCUUCCCUGACACAAAUAGAGAAAUCAUGCAAACAUGGCUGACCCGAUCUAGAUAAACAGAAGCCUUGCCCAAACAAACCAAAAAAAAAAACUCAGUAUAGUGUACUAUUCUAGCCCAUGGGUUUAAUGCUAAAUCAAUUUUAUAGUACCACUUUUUAACAUUACAAAUAGUACAUAUUUUGCUUAAAUCAUGUUGACAAAGCAUAUGUCAGGCCAAAACAAAUAAAGUAGACAGAAAACUCAAAAAAAUGCUUCUUUCCUAAAUAUUCAUUUGCAUAGCCAACUUAUGAUGAAAUGCAUUCAUGUUAAGUUUAUGCUAUGACAUCAUUAAUAACAAGAUAGAUAAUGAUGAAACCGAAAAAGAAAAGUAGAAAGUGGAAUUGAAACGUUAUUGUGAGAGAUAUAGAGAAGAAAAGAAGAUACAGUGAGACAAUUCUAAAUUCAUCUUUUCAAGAAACUUAUCCAUAACUUUCUAGAUCUAAAUGCACAAAAUUAUAGUUCAUUCCGUGUUUCACUAAUAUCUUCUGGUGCUACACUCUGCAUCUUAUUCAAUUUAUGCAUGUCAUUUAUGGCCAGCAUCAACAUACUGGUACUAAGAACCCCUCUAGUGGUACUAACUCUCAUUUCUACCAUUUUCCAACAUCAAACACUUCGAAAGCACUCAAGGAUAAUAUAAUAUUCUGUCACCCUCCCAAAUGGAGUUCCCCAUAGCGGGCCUAGCAGGCCGGCAGGGGGCCAAGACCCAGCAGCUGCCGACGCUGGGGGCACCCCACGCACACCAGAAGGGGACACGGCAAGGGGGGUCCGUCCACCACUGCCACUGUGUUAUCCCGGAUUUUAGAAGAAUUAGGAAAAUAAGGAGAUUUAAGGGGGAAAUAGGAAUGAUAGGUAGAGAUUUGUUUAGGAAAAAGAAUUGAGAUUACUUAGGAAAGAACAGAGAUUUGCUUUAGGAAAAAAGAGCUCAAAUCUAUAAGGACUCCUUCAUAAUUUCCUUGGUGUGCAAGUCCAAUAAGCCAUACUUUUUCUGCCGUACUUUUUCAGGGCUCCGUUCGCUUGUCUUAUAAGCCGUACUUAUAGGGGCAUUGUAAAUAUUUCAAUCAAGCAAAGGAAUAAGCAUUGCUCUUUAAACAAAUCUCUCCCUCUCUCUCUCUAGCUCUCAAGCCGCUGCCGCCCCCUCCCUCUGCCCUAGCCGCCGCCACCACCAACGGCACCAGCAGCAGCUGGCACGGCCUCACACCGCCACUGAUCAGCCAUGCCGCCUCUCUCCCUGCCCUAGCCGCCCCUAACCGGCCACCACCAAGAAAGACCGUGGCAUAUUCACGUUGCUCCAUUUGUACCCAGAAGAAGGAUAACUGACAAUAUUAUUCAGCAAAAUUAUCAGAAAACAUAGCUAAAAGUUCUGCUAGGACAGUACACAUAAUAUGAGGGCAACAGCGAAGGUAAACAACUACUGAUAAUGUUUUCAUGUCUGGUGGCACAGGGGCGAAGCCCAGUAGUGGCCCGUGGAUGCGGAUGCACCCCCCAAAAAUCAGAAACUAGUUAUUACUAUCAGAUUUCGGCCCUGUAUGCACCCCCCUUGGGCCAAUAUGCUGCACCCCCCCCCCCCCCCCCCUAGCCCAGCUCAGAGCAGCCAGUCCAGUUAACUUGAGCCCAUCGCUGGAAGAUGAAACGCGCAGCGCCGGAGUGCGUCGACUCCGCUGCUUUCCCUCGAGGCUCGCAUCCGUCGCGACGUUCUUUCUCCCCCUCCGUGUGUCUCCAUGGCCAUUGGCCGUCGCUGAGCCUGAGCCUAAGCUUUGGAGCAUGCCUGCUGUCUAUGUCUAUGCGCCCCUGCUCUGCAAUCCAGGCAUCCGCCGGCUGUCGACAGUUCCGUCUUGCCAGUUCUGAGUGGUGAGCCUUAGUUUGCAUUUUGCAACGUUUCUGCCUACUGAAGUUCACAAAGCUCAAAGUUGUUGUCUCCUGUCUGGCCGGUAUACAGUCUCAGUGUCCAGGCAUCAAGGAUUCAAUCUUUCAAGGUACGAAGUAGUAUUUUAGGUCUGUAGCUGUAGUCUUGUACUCAUGUAGAUAUUUCAUAUUUGCCUCUAUUUCUUUCUCAAGUUAUUUACUGGACGGUGUACUGAUGACAGAUUAAUCAAUGGAAAGAUUUUUCAAAAGAAAAGCGCCAGAACCAGAUAGUGCCAACAAUGCUCGCAAUUUGUGUUUGGAUGAUAUCAACUGGGAAGAGGAGAUUAAAUAUGAUCCUGGGUUGCGGAAACAAAUUGAUGACUACCAUCCUAAUCAAAGAGAAAUGGUGAGAAGGAAGUACUUGGAAAAAGGGCCUUGUCAGCCUCGCACAUUUAGUUUUCCAGUGACAAAUAUUGGAGGAGGGCCAAGAAGGUUUAUUCCAGAAUGGUUCGAUGAGUUUGGAAGUUGGCUUGUGAAGCUUUUGUGAAAAAUGGUUGGAAUGGUUUUCAUAGAAAACAAAGGCUCAAAGAUCAUGUGGGUGAUGUCGGUGGCUCACACUAUCUAGCAAUGAAGAAGUGUGAUGAUUUGCUGCAAACAAGACAACACAUUAAUGUGGCUUUCCGUGGUGUGAAUGAAAGUGCUAAGAGGGACUAUAUUACUCGAUUGAAUGGGUCUAUUGAUGUUGCUAGAAUGUUAGCAAAGCAAGGCUUGCCUUUUCGAGGCCACGAUGAGUCGAAGGAUUCUUUAAAUAGAGGAAAUUUCAGGGAAUUUCGUGAUUUUGCAGCGGAGCAAAAUCCAAUCUUAAGAAAGGCAACAAGUAAAGGAAAAUCAGAAAAUAGUCUUUUGGUUUCCCUUGAAAUACAAAGGGACAUUGUGCAUUGUUUUGCAAAGGAGGUGCUACAGGCUAUUCUAGAAGAAAUUGGGAAUGAUGUUUUUUGCUUGCUAGUUGAUGAGUCAAGAGAUGUUUCUUGGAAAGAACAAAUGGCUGUGGUCUUGAGAUAUGUAGAUAAAUAUGGAAUUGUGAAAGAGAGAUUUGUUGGACUUGUUCAUGUGAGUGAAACAACUUCAGCCCAUCUCAAGUCUUCUAUUGAUGCACUAUUUGCUGAACUUAACUUAAGUUUAAAGCAAGUUAGAGGCCAAGGAUAUGAUGGUGCUAGCAAUAUGAGAGGUGAGUUCAAUGGCUUGCAAUCAUUGAUCAUGAGAGAAAAUAGUUCAGCUUAUUAUGUUCAUUGUUUUGCUCACCAACUCCAAUUAGUCCUUGUGGCUAUUGUGAGAAAGCAUAGAGGGGUUAGUGAUUUUUUUACCAAGGUUUCCAUGUUACUAAAUGUUGUUGGUGGAUCAUCUAAGAGAAGGGAAAUGAUUAGAGAUAUUAACCUUACAGAAAUGAGUAAGGCACUUGGGUGUGGGCAACUUCAAACUGGGACAGGGUUAAAUCAAGAGCAAAGUAUUCAAAGACCUGGAGAUACUCGUUGGAGUUCUCAUUAUAAAUCUCUCAAGAGUAUAGUUGACAUGUUUUCUACAAUAGUCAAGGUGCUAGAAAUUGUGGAAAAUGAUAAAAAGGACUAGAAAAUUAGAGAUCAAGCAUCAAAUCUUCUAGAGUAUUUCCAGUCUUUUGACUCUAUCUUCUAUUUGCAUCUCAUGUUGACUAUAUUAGGAAUCACAAAUACCUUGUCCUUAGCACUGCAGCGCAAGGAUCAGGACAUAGUGAAUGCUAUUAAUUGUGUGAGAGCCACUAGAUGCCAAUUGGAUGAGCUUAGAAGAGAAAAGUGGGGAAAACUUUUGGAUGACGUGUAUGAAUUUUGUGAGAGGAAUGAUAUUUCCAUAUUGAAAAUGGAAGAUGAAUAUAUUGAUCCAAAGAAGAGGAGGCAAAAAUCUGGAAUUACAAACCAGCAUUACUAUCAAGUAGAUUGUUUCAAUGAUAUUAUUGAUUGGCUACUUCAAGAGCUUGACAGCCGCUUCAAUGAGACAAGCUCUCAAUUGCUUGUAUGCUCGGCCUCUUUUAGCCCAAGAGACUCAUUUUGUGAUUUUAAUGUGGACAAGUUGUUGACCCUAGCGAAGCUUUAUCCACAUGAUUUUGAUUCCGGAAAUCUGAGGGACCUUAGCAAUGAACUUGGCCUCUACAUAUUUGAUGUGAGAGAUGAUGACAGGUUCUCCAGCAUACAAACUAUUGCCGAGCUUUCUCAGAAAAUGGUGGAGACUAGAAAACAUGAACGUUACCCACUGGUUUAUCGACUUUUGAAGCUUGUACUAGUACCGCCAGUUGCUACUGCUACAGUUGAGAGGAUUUUCUCUCACAUGAAGAUUGUGAAAACAAAUUUACGCAAUCGCAUUGGUGAUCAAUUUAUGAGCGAUUGUCUUAUUUGCCAUGUGGAGAAAGAAGAAUGAUGAAAAUCACGAAUGAGUCCGUGAUUCGUCGCUUCAUGAAAAUGCAGGAACGCAGAUUUGAUGACAAUUAAAGGUAAUAGUUUCAUGAUAAUAUAUUUUGUCUAUCUUAAUAGUUUUGACCAUAUGCGACUAGUACUUACAUUGUUGUUUUUUUUCAUUACUUCUUUAUAGUCGCACCCCCCUUUAUUGCGCUCUAGCUUCGCCACUGUGGUGGCAUAUAUAGAAAUCAAAAAAUUACUUUAAACCAGUGUCCACAUAUAAAACAAUUGUGAAACCCAUGGCAGGACCAAUAAAAGUUUUACUAGACUGUAAGCUUUUGCUUAAAGUUGACAAAGUAAAAGAUGGGAAUUUUGAGCUUUGGUAUUUUGGUGCAAAAGCUUAUAGCUUAGCAAAAUGACCAAUUGCAUUGCAAUCUCAGGUGCAGACAUGUAGUCUAUACUCAGUUUAUAGUCCACAUGAUUUUCAAUCGCAAUUAACUGACAGUACAAAACCGCAUUGACAUUAUACAAUGUACAGAACAAACAGCUUCAGCAUGCAUCCAUGUUCAAUCUUAGGAUAUAAACCCAACAGUAGAACCACAAAACCUGCUGCAUUUUUCAUGUUUCAAUGGUUUUAGCCCUACAAACGAAAUACCAAAGCUUAAAAAUCCCAUCUUUUCACAGUAUACAGCUACAGCAGCAAAAGAUCCAUUGGAUUCAACGUCGCACAAAUAAAAUCCCUACAAAAUGCGAGUCCCAUAACGAUACUACCAGUCCGGAUUAGAGAUUCAGAAUCCAAGGAGCAUACAUACCAUCCGGUCAUGAACUUCUUGGACGCCCAGCUAUGCACAACCUUAUGGAACGCCUAAAACAAAAAGCACAAAAAAAAUCAGCUACAUUUCAUAUCCCACAACAAUUCGCGCAUUGACAUUUCUCGGGCAGACCAAAUCUGACUCGAGAAGCCACCGCCAUGCGAGGCGAGGGGGAAGUAGGAGGAGGGGAAGAGGGAAGGGCGGCGACCUCGCGGCCGGUCUGCGCGGCGGCGGCGGCGGCGGAGGCAGAGGAGGGCUUGCUCUCGUCGUCGUCGGAGUCGGCGACGGCGCGGGCGGACGGGGACGCAUGGGUGGCGACGGCGGCGGUCGGCACGAGCAGGUCCCGGUCCCGGUCCCGGUCGCGGUCGCGGUCGCGGCUGGGCAUCGGGAUUAGCACCGACGGCUUCGCGUCACCCAUCGCCAUCCGAAGAUCUCCCUCCCUCUCGAGGCUCUCAGCUGGAGGCUGGAGCGGCCGGCUCCAGCUGCCUCCUCUCUCUCUCUCUCUCUCUGGUUUCUUGUUUGGGGACUUGGGAUGUUCGUGGUUUUGGGCUACUGCUGGCCUCGUUUUCGGUUUUUUUUUUUUUUUUUUUUUGGCUGAGGCCGACGCCCUCCGGAACCAGAGUAGGCGCAGCGGCGGCACAUGGAAUCGGCUGUCGAUUCUCGGAGGUUCGGAUAUGUUUGGCUCGAGUCAACGUACUUCAUCUUGGGCCUUGUUUACUUCCUCAAUAUUUUACAAAAUGUUUCAGAUUUUUCGUCACAUCAAAUCUUACGGCAUAUGUAUAAAGUAUUAAAUAUAGAUAAAAAUAUAACUAAUUAUACAGUUUGUAUGUAAUUUACGAGACGAAUCUUUUGAGCCUAGUUAAUCUAUGAUUGAACAAUAUUUGUUAAAUACAAACAAAUGUGUUAUUGUUCACAUUUUGCAAGUUUUUUUGCAAGUAAACAAGGCCUGUAUGUUAUUCUACAAAUUAUAGGUUACUAGCAAAACUACCCGUGCGUUGCAAUGGGAGAAAAAAAGUUAUCAAAUCUAUAUCUAUAUUUCUAUUAUAUAAUUAUAUAUAAUAACAAAGAGGCAAAAUUUUAGCCUAUUUUUUGUCCAUCUAUUUUUUGUUCAUCUCCCUCUAACUACCGGACAAUGCAGAGUUUCUUUCGUCCGAAAUUAUAUAUAACUCGUGCUUAUACGAGUUAAAAUAACUCUUGUCUAAUAUGAUAUGGAGUUCUAUUCUAGUUUUAUAUAGGUCAUAUAUACGGUAACCUUGAUAGCUAGAAAAAGUCCUAAUCUUAAUAUAAAUAGAUUACUUUAAUCUUUUGAGUAAGCUAAAUAAGAAUUCUAAUUCAAGAGUUUGAUUCCAGAUUUAUAUUGAUACUAUAUAGGGUAAUAUUGAUAGCUAGGAAUCCUAAUCCUAAUCCUAUACAAAUAGAUUACUCAUCUUUAAGUAAUCCAAAUAAAAAAAGAUAUAAAAUUUUCUAUUUUAUUGGUUUACCUUUUUUCUAUUAUUUUUUAUCUAUCUCGUCCCGGACUACUCCCGCAAACCCAUGGGGUUUUUAAACCCGGUUCACCAUAUCAUCACACAAUAUAAUUAGUACAUAAAGAACAAAAUGCAAGAAAAAAUAAACAAAAUAGAGAACAUGCAUGCUCGAUACUUUUUUAGUAGAAGCUCCUUAUGUAAAAACUACAGGUAGCUAGUGCGUCUUAGUGCAUGCACUUAGUUUAUCUGGACUCAAAGAUAUGACAGAUGUUGACACUAAGCAUUAGCAGGUCAUGGCCCAAUGCAUGCUAGAGGUGAGUGUUUCUGUCUCAACUCGCAAAUGUCUAGUGAGGAGGUGCAAUAACACACAACAUGAUUCUCACCUUGCCAAUUGAUUCAACUUUAAGUAUUUUGGUGCGCUAUAAAGUAGACUUGCUCACUUGACUGGAUGACCAUCUUGUGACAUGCUGUGACGGGCACGGGCAACCCGUUAAAUACCCGUGACGUGACGGGUCAUGGGUUUUUUAGUGGGCACAUUAUGUUAAUGGGCAUGAGUUUGGGAUAGCAAAACCCAGCGGGUUUAUACCCGUUGCCAUCUUUAGUUAGGUUGGAAGGGACGUGUCAAGGAGAGACUUGUUGUUGGCCAGAGAGACACGCUACGAAAUGGAAAAGAUGACGAUGUGAUCGGAUACUGGCGGACAGGAUUGUGGCGGACAAAAAAAAGACAGGCUGAAAUUUUUCUUUUUAAUCAAGCAUCACAUUAAAUAGGCUAUCAUAAAAUUUUCAUAAUAAUUGGAGUAAGAUAAUUACAAUUUUAAUUUUACACUAAAAAAUAUAGGCAAGCAUCUCCGACAAAAACAAAUAUACUAAAAAUUAUGAUAUUUUUUGUUUACGACAUGGAUCUAAAUAUGUGGAGCUGAAUAAAAUUUGUUUUGUAAUUUUUAGAUUUAUUUAUGAAUUACUAUAAAUUUAUUAAUUUUAUAGGAGAUUUUACAUUAGGAACCUUAGAAAACUUUUAUUUUUUUUUCUCUUUCAGCAGGCUACCUACAAGCUACAGGCCGAUUGCGGAAUGCGGAUGCAGCCGAUUGACGGCCAGAUUUGCACUUAGAACCUUGUACUUUCUUUAUUCUUAAUAUGCUCUAAUAUAUAUAAAUGAUUUUACAUUGGGAACCCUAGAAAAACUUCUAUUCUUCUUUUUUCUACUCCACAAGGUACAGGAUUCGGAUAUGGUGGGCAGAAAACUUUUGGACGGAAUGAAAUUUUCCCUCUUUAUAGAUAGGUAUAGAUUUUGAUUUUUUAUGGCAAAAUAAUUUUUACCAAACAUCAAAAUAUAUAUGGUAUGUCUGAAUAUCCAUUCUAAAUUACAAAAUUAUAAGAUGUUUUGGUUUUCUAAAUAAUAUAUCUAGAAAACCUAAAAUAUUUUAUAAUUUAAACAAAGGGAUUGGGUACUAAGAAUGAUAUACUUAAAAUAUUUUUAUUGCAACUAUUUAUAAUUUGCAUUGAAGGAAGUAUUUACUGAUAUGCGUAAGAGUAUCUUCAAGAGUUUCCAAAUUAACUCUACUUUUGAUCGCAAGAAUUCCAUAGGAAUUGUGUAGUAAUUUUAUACAAAUCAGUUAAUUUUCAUAGAGAAAACGUAGAAAACUGAUAAAUCUCGCAAUCCAAAGUGGUCUUGAAUCUUGUUUUUUAGCAAGAUUAGGAAAAAAACUCAGUCUCCAAUAACCCCUUAGAGCAUCUCUAAGAAUAGAGCAUUUGCAUCACAAACUCACAAUAACUAGGAGAAUUCCCCGCGCGUUGCCGCGGAUAUGAAGGAGGAAUAUAAUAAAUAUAUAACUCUUUUAUUAGCAUAAUCAUUGGAAAUUGUAUCCAUAGUGGAUGAUGUGUCUCGUUGAUGUGGAUGUCAUAAUUCUUGUGCUAGUUAACUUUAAUGCAAACGAUAGUAGAUUGCUGAGGUGGACACCUUGCAUGUCAGGAGAAAUUGAUAGAGGCAAAUGAUAGUGGACUGCUGAGAUGGACGCUUUGUAUUUUAAGAAAAAUAGAUAGUGGAGUUGAUAAUGGACUGCUGAGGUGGACGCAUUGCAUGUCAAGAGAAAUAGAUAGUGGGGUUUUGCUUUAUAAGAGUUAUAGAUAUGUAUACCUCAUAGCACACCUAGAGAGGAAUACUAAAGUUUAUUUCACUGCAUUUAUAUUUUUAUUAAUUCCUUAAGAAAUUAAUUUGUUUCUCCAACAUAAGGCAAAUAUAGCAAACAAAUCAUUAUAAAGUAAAAGGUACAUUUGCAGAUGUUUUUUAUAGUUAGGAAACAUCAUAAAUUUAAGGAAAUUGGGUUUUUCAAAUUUUAAGUGCAAUAGUUAGUGCUAGAGGAGCCAAACCAGACAAUAGCUUUAUACUAGUGGAGCUAUUAGCUAACCUAUGAGAAGAGCUCCAUUUGGAUCCUAGAUCUAAUAGUUAGUCGGUCUUUAGGGCCUAUUUAUUUGAGAUGCAUCUUUUGGUGUAUUGGCUCAAAAGCUAUUUUCUGUUUUUUGGUUUAUGGCUUCUGGCUAUAGACUUUUGUAAUAAUGUUUUAGCUUCUUAUCUGCGACGUUUGUUGGCUACACGUGUCGCAGAUAAGCCCUUAUCUGCGACAUGUGGAGCCAAUAAGAGUCACUGAUAACGAACUAUCUGCGACGCGUGUAGCUAAUACGCGUCACUGAUAACAAUUUCCGAAAAAUAAAAAAAAUCAUAUAUAUAUAUAGGGCAUAUAUAUAUACCCUAUAUAUAUGUAUAUGAUUUUUUUAUAAAUAUAUAUAUAAGCACACACAAAUGUUUCACCAUUUCAACAAUACAUUCUUUACAAGGUUUUUAGAUACAAUUCAUACUACAAAAUAUUCAUGUCGUCUCAGGGUGAGCCAAGCUCAUUACAUAGAUAUCAAGUUCUUGCAUAGAUAUCAAGUUCUUGUAAGUUCAACAGAUAGCAAAUAAUAGUACUCUAUAUGAAGAAACUCAUUACAUAGAUAUCAAGUUCAACAGAUUCACAUUCAUGUCAAAUUCAUCGACAACAAGUUCCGUCACAAGAUUGUACAACUUAUUCACUCACACACUGGACACAUUGAUAAUAAUGGCAAUCACACAUCACUGGAGCUUAACUAGGAUUAUGGAACUCCCCUCUCUUGUUGAUGAUCUGUUCCAUAAAGAACUUGCUCAGCUUCUCCCUAAUUGCGUUGAAAUCGAUAGGCGCCGUCAGCACUUCAAAUUCCUGUGUCAAGAUAUAACUCUAGUAAAAAUGAAAACAUGGCACAAUGCAAAGUACAAAUCAUAUUAGUAAAACUCAAAUGCACUGUUGGCUUAUAUAUAUUUCUUGUGUUGGAUAGGAGAGGUAGAAAUGAAACCAUCCUAAUGCCGCCUAUUUCAUUUUUGAAAGAUUCAACAAUUGAUAAUUCCAUUCUAAUCUAGUACCUUCUGAUCUAGUAGUAGGGCACUAAAAACAUGGACACUAAAAUGCUGUAAAGCAAAGAUUUAUAGAAUCCAAUAGAUUUUCUGAUCAGGUAUGCUUUUAACCAUUUUAACAGUGAAGUAAUGAUGUCAAAUGGAAGAUUUGCAGAGCUGGGAAAACUGUGGCUAGUAAUUUAUUCAGAGAUCAUUCUAGAAGAAUACCUCAGGGCAUUCCAAGUCUGUCUUUUGCAUGGCUAACAUCAAGUUGUGUGCAGCAUAGAAGCUGGAUGUCUUGCUAGAAGUUUGUUGUUGGCACUGCAACAUAUAUAUUAAUUAGAGGUGAAUACACACAAUCAUUUGAAAAUGGAAGUGGGACACAAUACUGUUGAUGCAAAAGCUGAUCUGCAAACACAAAGGGCUAAUACCCGAUUUAAACGUUAAGGCGUGCCAGCCGAUUUGACCUUACUAUCGGCAAAGGUGGUAACUCGAAUACUUUGGUCCCGACAACAGCGAUGCGCCCGGAUGCCACGGCCAAAAGGUAUUCACACGAAACUUGAGAACACGUCGAGCUUAAGUCGACGAAUUCCUAAGAACUCGUAACGAAAAGGAAAAAAGUAUGACGAAGUCGUCGAAAAAGUAGAUGCUAGAAUUUGAGUAAAAACGUGUGUUUGAUUGAUUGAUAGAUAAAUUCUUUACAAGGCCCUAGGGUCUACAUUUAUACCCUGCUCAAAGAGCUACAACCAGACACGACUAGGAUUCGAAUUCCAAAUUUAAACAGAAUCCGUGUACAAAACGACUUAAAUAACUAAGGAAAACGCAAAACUAUCCUCACGUGACAAACUAGAACACCCCCACAAGCCGACCGGCAACUUCCAGGCUCUCCCUCCGUAUCAUCGGCAGACUCCCUUAUCAUAGCCAUCGGCACAAGCACAUCGUCACCUAUGGACUCGGUCACGUUCCGCCAUACUUCCAUCGGCAACCAUCCUCAUCGGCAACUCACCCUGUAGAUCAAGCACUGCCGUCUUAUCUUACCGACCUACACUUUACCAAUCAUGGACACGUGCCUAAAAACGGUGUCAACACAUGCCCCCCAAUUUCGGAGUAUGAAAUCAUUAAUACUCCAAAAUUCUCUGCAGUAAUGAUGCCUUUCCGCAAUUAAUGCUCCCAAUCUGGUAACCGACAGCCUUAAUCUGAACAACUCUGAUCAUAUUCCUCUGCAGAUUCCUCCAAAUCCUCAACCUCCCAAACGGACAUUUCCACUUUAGUCGCGCAUCUGCAAUAUUACCGUUACAGGGACUUGCCGAUGGACGUCCAUAUCCCAUCCUCCCAAACGGCUAUCUCCACUUUAUUCGCCCAUCGGCAAUAUGACCGUUACAAGGCGCUGCCGAUGGACCGACCAGGAGAUCUCGCACAGUGAAAUAUCUGUGGACAAUGACCGCUUCCUGUCAAAUCGCCUGCACAAUCCCUUGAUUACCGUGCGAACAGUUACCCCUCGGAUUUCACGGAUACGGCGAAGAGAUAAGUCAAAUUUACCCUUGCCCGUUUUGUUCUAUAAAUAGUUCCUUCUCGGGUACUCCUUCUUCAUCACAUCAUUCCACAGCUCCAACUUCACUUUCCCGGCGGCGGUGCUGUUCAAGAGCUCCAAGAUCCCCAAGGAAACCCCUUCUUCACCAACUCCGAAGCCUUCGACCAUCCUCUUCGUGACAAGAUGGCCAUCAACUUCACCGUUCCUGAGGUUAGUUCUUCACUCCACCUUUUGUGCUUUUUCUCACAUCCCUGUUCAUCCGCAAUCCAUUUUACUGAACAUUUUCUUUUUCUUUCUUUGUUCUUCUUUUACCUUCAAAAACCAUUAGGAUCUGUCCAACAAAAUUGUCAUCCCCACCGAUCAACCACACCUCCAAUGCCUUGGUCCGUUAGGGAAUCCAGAUCCAACCGAGCUCAUUAACGCAGAAACCAACAGAAUCCCUUUUAGAGCCGAGAACUUUUCUUUAGAUCUAUGGAAGGAUACUUUCCGUUCUUGGCUCAGUCCUACCGUGGGAUGGACGGAUUGUUUCUUGAGGGUUAGCCACUCAAAUGAAGUCCAGUGGGGCGAGAGAAAACUAGACCAAUGCAUCAGGUUGUCUAUUGCCGAUAUGCAUAGAAAUGAAUCACUGCUGAUAGCUGCAUCACACUUCUGGUCAGACACGCUCAACGCUUUUGUCUUUGGCCACGGCCCUGCCUCCCCUACUCUUGCCGAUGUAGCUAUGCUCACUGGCCUAGAUGUAUCUUCUGCCGAUAGCACUCAUUUCUUCGAUACCAAACCCAGUGCUAAGAUAGAAACUCGUGUCAUCGGCGGUUGGUCAGGGUACAUCCAAAAAUACAGACGAACAGGCCCUGUCAACAUAAAGGAGCAGACCAGCUUCCUGAACAUGUGGUUAGAUAAAUUCGUGUUUUGCGGCCGAUCGGCAGGACCAACUUCCGUUUACCUAGCAGCAGCAAGAAAAUUUGGCUAACGGUGGCCGAUUUCCCCUCGGCCGAUACCUGCUCGGUGCAGCCUAUCACCUCCUUCACCAAGUGACUAGGAAACUCCUACUCGGCCAGUCUAUCGUCAACUUGGGAGGUCCCUGGUGGUUCAUCAACAUGUGGCUCAGUCUCCACAUGCACAAGCGUCUUGAGUUUGACCUUUUUGCACAGCGUUUUCCAAGAGACAUAGCCGAGGACUAUGAACUGGAUGAAGAAGAAUCGGCAACACGCCCUCCCCUAAACUUUGGUGAAGCUGUCAUAGUUCUACCUGGUACAGGGGGUAAUGCAGACCAGGUCAGUCGAUUCUUCCAAACCUUGUAUGAAGGCUUGACCAGAGAGGAGCGAGCAUGGUUGGCUUAUGACGAUCCAGACACCAUGUUUCCUCUGGUUUUCAACCCAUUCAAUGAUGCUCUUAUCACGGAUCACGAAGUGAAGAUGGCACUGGUCACUCCCAGAGCUAUACCAGUGAAUUUCUUUGGCAGUGGGAAAACCUCCAACCAGACCUAUGAGUUUUACAACCCAUCGGCAUUAGCUCGUCAAUUAGCUUUUGGCCAGCUGCCGAUUGCACUCUGUUAUGACGAUGUGAUAAAACCCAGGGAAACCAUCACUAGCCUCCUUGAAUGGAUCCGAGUAGCCCAACUGCCAUCAAGUGCCGAUACAGAUGUAGACUUGUCAGAGUGGGUUCCAGCCGCCUUCAUCACUCAGGCGUACAAGCAAUGGUGGGCAGAAUGGAAGGAACAUCUGUUCUGCAGAUCGGCUCUUACGUAUCGCGGCAUGAUCGACCCCGAGUACAAAGUUCCCGAUAACACUGUAAGUAUCUUCAAACCGAUGUUUCAAUUUUCUCAUUUUUAUUUCCAUUGGCGAUUUACCUUUGUAUCAUCCUGCAGGUUGACAACACCCCUCCAUCGGUCAGCAGGAGUGGCAAGCCGAUUGACCUAUUCCCAUCUGGUCCAAUCUCUUCAAUCGGCAACAACUCUCCCACCCUGGCCGCCAUCAUGCAUCGAGGUGUACGCCUCAAGAAAGUCACCACUAGGAGGACUCAAAUAUCUCCAUCGGUAGCCGCUUCCACUUUGGCAUAGGUAUUCAAGGUAAUUGUUAAACCUUUUCAUUCAUACCAAUUCUUAUUUUACAUCUGCCACACUUGUACUCAUAAACCUUUUCCACAUCAGCAGACCGGCGCAUCGGCAAAGACCAGAAGCAAAAGUGCCGAUGCCCCCCAGUCCAGUCAACCGAAGAGAAAGGGUGCCAAGAACACCAGGGCACAAGCAAAGCGCCAAAGGGUAGCAACGCCUCCUCCUCCUCCCCCGGUAUCUCCAAUCCCAGUGGAAUCUUCUCCUUCUUCUCCAGAAGCCCAGAUGCAACAAGUGCCAUCUCCCCCUCCAGUGCAAGAAGCACCACAAGUGGAAGAACCCCAACCAGAAGAGCCUCAACCAGAAGUACCUCAACCAGAAGACACAUCGGCUGAUGUGCAUGAACGAACUACCGAUCCAGCAGGUUCCAUUAUAGCAUCGGUGGUCUCUUCCAUCCAGACAAGUACUGCUCUUCCUCAAGGUAACACACUUUUAUAAUAUUACUGCCGAUGAACUUAUUUUUCCAACUUUAUAACCUCUUCUGUUAAUUUUUAGCUGACAUAGUUCCAUCGGCAACUCUGGCCGAUCAACCCGUGGCUCCAUCGGCAUCUUCGAGUCAGAGGCGGGAGAUUGCCCUGAAACAAGUAAGUUAUCCAACCCCUGUUUGCAUCAUUUAUCAAUACCUGACCAUAGAAUAACUCGUUUUAUUUCCUUUUCAGGAGCAGGACUCUCCCGACAGCUUGUUCUCUUUCGCCAUCGACAUCUCCGAAGAUGAGGGUGAAGAAGCAAGCUCUUCUCGAGCAGUUGUGAUCACAUCGGCAGAAGUCAGGGCGAAGCUGGAAGAAUUAUCGGCUCUCCUCCACCAAGACACAGCCCAGCUAGUCGAUGAUUCCGAUCCGGCUAAGGCUUUAUUCAUGACUCUGAGGGGCCACAUCCCCGUCGAUGCCGAAGAAGUUCUCUUUCAAGCAGCACACCUGGAGAGCCGUCAACUGCAAUACCAGAGGGCUGCCCAGCGCCUUGCCGACAGAGUCGCUCAGACUCGUCUUUCCGAGGAGAUGAUGAAAGAAAAACUUCUUACCGAUGAAAAGCAUAAGACCAUCGGCACCCUGAAGUCCCCGGGAGAUGCACUGAAGCACAAAAUCUCCGAUCUGUCGGCAAAAAGAGAAGCUCUAUUGGCAGAACUUAAACAAGUAGAGAAUGCCCUGUCCCAAGCCAGACAGGAAGAAAGCCAACUGCCGGAAACAAUCAAGCUUCUUGAGCAAGAGCGAAAUGUCCAUAGUCACAAAGCACUGUAGUUGAAGAAGAAGUUGAAGCCAGUAGAAGGUUCUGAAGAUGAAGACGUCAAAGAGAUAGAAGCAGCCAAUCAAAUCCGCCUGCGUGCUAUAUCAGCCAUCCAAGCGCUGCUAAACAUGUGAGCACUUCAUCGGCAACAUACUCACCUCUCUCUGCUUUCCAGCUUUCUUGAUGUUUAGUCUAGCCGAUAGGACUGUUAUCGGCAUCUUUUGAAACAUUAAGCUCGGCCUCAGACACAUUUCAAUUUAGCCGAUAGGAGUGUUAUCGGCACUUAAACCUUUAUGCAUCGACCCAUAUGCUUGGGUAGUACUUCUUCAGAUAUUUGCCAUUUAAUGCUCUGGGAAAUUCAACUCCUUCGAGAGUUUCUAGAAUAUAGGCAUUACCAGGAGCCGAUCGACUUAUCCGAUAGGGACCCUCCCAAUUGGGAGACCACUUCCCAAAUUUUGAACUUUUAGUCCCGAUCGGCAAGAUCAAUUUCCAUACCAAGUCUCCAUCGGCAAACUCCUUAGCCUUCACUUUCUUAUCGUACCAUCUAGCAACUCUCUUCUUAUUUUCUUCUAUACUCAUUAAAGCCUUUAACCGAUGUCCUGCUAGAUCGUCUAACUCAUCGGUCAUCAAAGUGGCAUAAUCAUCGACAGCCAAUUGAUCUUGAAAAGAUAGUCGCCUAGAUCCAGUCUUAAUUUCCCAAGGUAACACUGCAUCAUGCCCAUACACCAACUGAUAAGGUGAAACCUUAGUUGAUCCAUGAUAAGCCAUUCGAUAGGACCAUAAAGCUUCACUUAACAAUGUGUGCCACCGCUUAGGAUUUUCUUCAAUUUUUCGUUUGAUAAGCUUGAUAAUUCCUUUGUUAGAUGCCUCGGCCUGUCCAUUAGCUUGAGCAUAAUAAGGAGAAGAGUUUAACACCUUAAUUCCCAUACCGAUUGCGAAUUCAUCAAACUCCCCCGAUGUGAACAUAGUACCCUGAUCGGUAGUGAUUGUUUGAGGAAUCCCAAAUCGGUAAAUAAUGUGCUCCUUCACAAAAUCAAUCAUAUUGGCCGAGGUAACUUUCUUCAAAGGAAUAGCCUCAACCCAUUUGGUGAAAUAAUCGGUGACAACCAAGAUAAACUUAUGCCCUUUGCUAGAUGGCGGAUAAAUCUGACCGAUUAAGUCAAUAGCCCACCCCUGGAACGGCCAAGGUUUGAUAAUAGGAUUCAUGGCCGAUGCGAGUGCUCUUUGAAUGUUGCCAAAUUUCUGACAUCCUUGACAUCCCUUGAAAUAUUUAAAGCAAUAUUCAAGUAUGGUCGGCCAAUAAUACCCGUUCCUCCUAAUCAUCCACUUCAUCUUAAAAGCCGACUGAUGUGCUCAACAUACCCCUUCAUGGAUUUCUCCCAUCAAACUCUUAGCUUCAUCAUCACCUAAGCAUCGGAGAAGAAUCCCAUCAACAGUUCGAUAAUACAAUCCAUCUUUGAGGAGCACAUACUUGGUGGCUUGAAACCGAACUCGUCUUUCGACUUUCUUGGAUGGAUCUUUCAAAUAGUCAACGAUUUCUUUUCUCCAAUCAUCGGCACCAAUUGCCGAUAUUGCAUUAAUCAUAGCUGAUAUCCCGAGGCUUGCUGAGCCAACCGAUUGGUCUCUUCAUUAUGCAAUCGAGGAACAUACUCUAAUCGAAAAUCCUUGAAUUCCUUUAACAAUUGCAUACUCCGCUCGUAAUAAGUUAUGAGAACUUCAUUUCGGCACUCAUAGCUUCUAGUCAAUUGAUUUAUAACUAGCAUAGAAUCCCCAAAAACUUCGACAGCAUCAGCAUGAACUUCCCUUAACAAUUCCAAUCCCUUUAUUAAAGCUUGAUACUCAGCCUGAUUAUUCGUCGACGUGGCAACAAUUGGCAAGGAAAACUCAUACUUCCUUCCCCGAGGGGAAAUUAAUACUAUACCCAUUCCUGCCCCCUGGUCACAUGUAGAUCCAUCAAAGAAAAGCGUCCAAGGUACAAUUCCCAAAGCCUCCACUGUACCGCAAUGUUGAGUUACAAAAUUGGCCACAAUCUGCCCUUUAACUGCCUUAGCCGAUUCAUAACGCAGAUCGAACUCCGACAGCGCCAAAAUCCAUUUACCGAUCCUGCCACUCAUAAUCGGCAUGGACAGCAUGUACCGGACCACGUCAUCUUUGCAAAUAACAGUGCAUUCGGCCGAUAACAAGUAGUGCCUUAACUUGAUACAAAAGAAAUAUAGGCACAAACAUAGUUUCUCAAUAGCCGAAUACCUGGUCUCAGCAUCAAUCAACCUCCUGCUUAAGUAAUAAAUUACACGCUCCUUCCCUUCAAAUUCUUGAAUUAAAGCCGAACCGAUGGCCAUCCCAUCGGUAGACAAAUACAAUCUGAAGGGCUUCCCUUGCUGAGGUGGAAUUAGAACUGGAGGGUUCACUAAAUAAUUCUUGAUUUCGUCCAGAGCCAACUGUUGUUCCUUCCCCCAAACAAACUCUUGAUCGGCCUUUAACUUAAGAAGAGGACUGAAAGCACGAAUUUUACCAGACAAAUUAGAUAUAAACCUUCUGAUAAAAUUUACCUUGCCGAUCAAGGACUGGAGCUCGGUCUUGUUGGUAGGGGCCACUAUCUUAUUGAUGGCAUCAAUAGAUCUUCGACUGAUUUCAAUCCCCCUUUGGUGCACCAUGAAACCAAGAAAUUGUCAUGCCGAUACACCAAAUGCACACUUAUUGGGAUUCAUUUUCAAACCAUGCUUCCUUGUGCACUCUAACACCUUUCGUAAAUCGGCAAGAUGCUUUGUGAAGUCUCCAGAUUUUACCACCACAUCAUCAAUAUAAAUCUCCACCAGCUUGCCGAUGAACUCAUGAAAUAUAAAAUUCAUGGCCCUUUGAUAAGUAGCACCAGCAUUCUUUAAGCCGAAGGUCAUGACUAUCCAUUCAAACAAUCCAACAUGACCAGGGCACCUGAACGCGGUCUUUGGAAUAUCCUCUUCAGCCAUGAAUAUUUGAUUGUAUCCUGCAUUGCCAUCCAUAAAGCUAAUAAUCCGAUGCCCAGCCGCAGCGUCAACUAGCAGAUCGGCAACUGUCAUUGGGUAUCCAUCCAUCGGUGUAGCUUUGUUGAGAUUCCUGAAAUCAAUGCAGACCCGAAGCUUCCCAUUCUUCUUAUAGACCGGAACAACAUUGGAAAUCCGCUCGGCAUACCGACACUGCCGAAUAAACUUGGCUUCAAUAAGUUUGGUUAUCUCGGCCUUAAUAUCAGGGAGGAUAUUAGGAUUUCAUCGGCGAGCCGGCUGCUGAUGUGGCCGAAAUCCAGACUUGAUAGGUAACCGAUGUUCAACAAUUGAUUGGUCCAAACCAGGCAUCUCAGUAUAAUCCCAAGCAAAGCAAUCUUUAUAUUCCUUUAACAAAUCGGUUAACUGUUGCUUACACUCAGAAUCUAAUUUAGCACUAAUAAAAGUGGGUCUAGGCUUAUCACCACUACCUAUAUCUACUUCUACUAGAUCAUCGGCCGAUGUGAAUCCCUGGCCUAACUUUCCAUCAUCGGCGAACCUAUCCAUUAAAAACCUUCAUCAGAACCGACUGCUUGGAUCGGUGGAAUCUCGUAAUCGGCAACCUUAAGAAAAUCCUUUUCCCAAAUUUCUCCUGAAAUACACCUAGUCUUUUCGUAGGUGUCUGCCUCUGCUGAUGUGAUGACAUAAGAAGAAUCUCCUGGGACAAUUUCAAUCUUGUCACCUACCCACUGGACCAAGCAUUGGUGCAUUGUAGACGGGAUGCAACAAUUAGCAUGAAUCCUAUCUCUUCCCAACAGUAAGUUGUAAGCACCCUUUCCACUGAUCACGAAGAAUGUUGUCGACAAGGUUUUACUGCCGAUGGUCAACUCUACGCAUAUUGCCCCCUUUACCGGAGACACAUUUCCUUCAAAAUCCUUAAGCAUCAUAUCAGUCUUGGUUAAAUCCUGAUCCCCUUUCCCAAGCUUCCGAUACACUGCAUAUGGCAUGAUAUUAAUAGCGGCUCCACCAUCAAUCAGAAUCUUGGUCAUCGGCUGACCAUCCACUUUUCCUUUAACAAACAGGGCCUUGAGGUGCUGCCUUUCAUCAUCGGCAGGCUUCUCGAAGAUAGCCGUCAUCGGAUCCAGAGCCAACUGAGCUAUCUGGUCAGAAAAUUCCAACUCAUCAUCACUGGAUGGUGCAAGGAACUCCAUCGGCAACAUUAAUACCAUGUUGACAUCUGCCGAUGGACCUUUCCCCUUAGGAUCUGAUUGUUGCUGAUCCCCAGACUGUCCAGAGUUCUCCCCUUUGCUUAACUCUUCUCGCCUUUCGUGCUGCAGUCUUCUCUUUUGAGUCCUGGUCAACCCCUCUGGACACCAUGGAGGCAGUUGCUGCUGCCUUACCGAUGGGCGAUGACUCUCCCUUGACUCCACCCGAUAAGUAUUGGCAUCCCUACAAAAUACGAACUCAUCGGGAACCCGAGCAUUAGCCAUUUCUUCAAGUUCUUCCUGGUUCCUGGGAGAAUAUUGAACACGAUCGCCAAGCCUGUCGUGCACGCUGAGCCUGCCCCCAGCCGAUCGUGAACGGACGCUCUUCCUCUGAUCGGCCCAUUAGAUCGCCGAUUGUCGUCGUGAUAGCGCCGAUUGGAUCUAUCAUACCGAUCAUAACCGUUGCACUCAGGGCACUCUCUGACAGUGGGAAGCUUAAUAUUCUCCUCCCAACAAUGAAUGAAGAACGGGCAAUUCCAGUGAUCCCUAUGCCGAUUCCAUUCUUGUCGGCGUCUUUCCUCUUCCCGACGAUAAUCCUCUUGCUGGCGCCGGUACCGAUCUUCACGUUGCUGCCAAGUCUCCCGAGGCCUCCUGUGAGUUAUCACAAUACCAGAUCGGGGAGGCCUUCCUGAGUUAGCUCCCUCCUGGAUCAAGCCUUUUCCUUUGGCAUCGGCAGUAGUGAUCUGAUGCUGAGGAUCCACCGAUGCACUUCUUUCAGCUGCUUCCGACGUCAAGACCUUGGCCUUUCCCUUAGCAUCCAACAUGUUCGUUGGGAAAGGAUGUUGAUCAAUCUUCAUCGGCUUCUGGGUCUUGGAACUAUCAAAUUUGAUCCUUCCAGACUCUAUAGCCGAUUGCAGCUGCUGUCUGAAAACCUUGCACUCAUUAGUGUCGUGAGAAGUUGCAUUGUGCCACUUGCAAUACUUCAUCCUUUUUAAUUCUUCAACCGAUGGGAUCACAUGAUUAGGUGACAGCUUGAUCUGACCUUCCUGGAGCAGAAAGUCAAAUAUCCUAUCAGCCUUGGUGGUGUCGAACGCGAACUUCCCUGGUUCUUUAUGUCCAAAAGGACAAGACAUCGGCUUUUUAUUUUUCACCCAUUCUGCCAAGCCGAUGACUGGUUCUUCAUCGGAGUCCGAACUUGCCGCUUCAUCCACAAAUGAUACCUUUUUAUUCCAUGCUCUCUUGGAUUCAAACGGCUUGAUGUCCUGAUCAGAGAUUCUCUGCACCAAAUGACUUAAGCUUUCAAACUCCUGAGAUGCAUAUUUGUCCCUUAUGUGCGGCAACAAGCCCUGGAAAGCCAAAUCGGCUAGCUGCCGAUCAUCCAGAACCAGGCUAUAGCAUUUGUUCUUGACCUCCCGUAUCCUCUGCACGAAACUUUCAACCGAUUCAUCAUUGCGUUGCCUUAAUUUGACCAAAUCGGUGAUCUUCUUCUCAUGGACCCCAGAAAAGAAGUAUUUGUGGAAUUGUUUCUCCAAAUCGGCCCAGGUAAUCACUGAGUUGGGAGGUAAUGAUAUAAACCAGGUGAAAGCUGAUCCAGACAACGAUGACGAGAAUAAGCGAACCCUUAACUCGUCUCUGUUACCAGCUUCCCCGCAUUGAAUGAUGAACCUGUUGACAUGCUUCAUGGUUGACGUGUCAUCCUGCCCAGAAAACUUAGUAAAAUCCGGUACCUUGUACUGAUUUGGAAGCGGCAUAGACUUUGGGAGGAUACGGUGUCCGAUAAGAAUAAGUGUUGACUUUGGGCUUUAUCCCAAAUUGAUCCCUCAUUACUUCAGCAAUCUUAUCGGCCCAAUAAGCAUCGACAUCUUGCCGAUGAGGUGGUUGCGGAUCCGGCGCCUGCUGGUAAGCUUCCACGUGUCUGUGCGGCGCACGAUCUGCAUGAAACAUUGGGUUAAUCAUUUGGCCCCCAAUCUGCGGACCCCCAAGCUGUUGCCUGCCAAUCUGCUGUCCGCCGACCUGCUACCCGAGAUUCAUUGGCUGGUUAGGGAUCCCCUGAUUCUGGAACCCGAGAUGGAUCUGGCCUUGCUGGAACCCUGUAGCCUGAUGACUCUGUUGGGGUGUUUGCGGAAAGACUUGCUGCCCAAGCCAUCCACUAUUAGCAUUCAUCGGCAUAGGCCCUGCCGAUGAUUGGUAAUUGGGCAUUAUCAUUGAAUUGACAUACCCUGGUUGAGUCAUAAACCUCUGUUGCAUCAGCAUUGAGUCUGCCGAUGCGUUAGGCAUCUGGAACGUUGGAGCUUGAGAAUUCCCAGUGUAAGGUCUUGCAGUAGUAGUUGUAGUAUACUGGGGACUUUGAUUCAUCGGCAUAUUAGGAGGUGUCGAUGCCAUAGGAGCCUUGCCUCUCAUGUCAGUUGCCUGAGAUGUGCCAGGCGUCUUCAAGUAUUCCGGGGGCAUACCGAAACCCCACCAGUUAGGAGGAGGAACCGGUCCUGACAUUGCCGAUGCUAAUAGAUCUGUAGUGAGCCUAAUCUGCUCAUCUGAAGUCGGUGGAUUGGCUGUCAUCGGCGUAGAUUGUGCAUUAGUGACUCCCAACGUACUUGGAGGAACGGUAGUCUGUAUUCCCGCAGCGGGUGUAGCGGCUGGUGGAGCUGUGACCACCGGUGACCCUGGCUAGUGAUGAGAGGAGCCCACAUAAUCUGGUGGCAAUUGUCUUUCCUUGAAGGUUCUGGCCACGACAUUGAAAACCGUAUUGGACAGUACACCAGCUUGGUUGAUCAAAGCACGGUUGAUAGCACUAUCAACCAUCUCUUGAAGUUUACCAGGAUUGGCUUCAAAAGUAACCUGCCGAGGCGUCGGCAGUGCAUCCUUCUGGAUCACUUCGCCGCUCCUGUUCAUACUGAAGGAUCUCAGGCACUGCUGCUUGUAAUCCUCCAUGGCUUUAGCAAUAGCUUGCUUCUGCUCAUCCUUGAGAUUGGCUUCCAUCACGGGGAUGACGUUCUCUUGAUCAAACUCAGAAGUCGACAUGUUGAUCUUGAUCUUGAAUCUGUCCCACUGGGCAUGCCAAAAGAUGUGUUGAUGCAAAAGCUGAUCUGCAUACACAAAGGGCUAAUACCCGAUUUAAACGUUAAGGCGUGCCAGCCGAUUUGACCUUACUAUCGGCAAAGGUGGUAACUCGAAUACUUUGGUCCCGACAACAGCGAUGCGCCCGGAUGCCACGGCCAACAGGUAUUCACGCGGAACUUGAGAACACGUCGAGCUUAAGUCAACAAAUUCCUAAGAACUCGUAACGAAAAGGAAAAAAGUAUGACGAAGUCGUCAAAAAAGUAGAUGCUAGAAUUUGAGUAAAAACGUGUGUUUGAUUGAUUGAUAGAUAAAUUCUUUACAAGGCCCUAGGGUCUACAUUUAUACCCUGCUCAAAGAGCUACAACCAGACACGACUAGGAUUCGAAUUCCAAAUUUAAACAGAAUCCGUGUACAAAACGACUUAAAUAACUAAGGAAAACGCAAAACUAUCCUCACGUGACAAACUAGAACACCCCCACAAGCCGACCGGCAACUUCCAGGCUCUCCCUCCGUAUCAUCGGCAGACUCCCUUAUCAUAGCCAUCGGCACAAGCACAUCGUCACCUAUGGACUCAGUCACGUUCCGCCAUACUUCCAUCGGCAACCAUCCUCAUCGGCAACUCACCCUGUAGAUCAAGCACUGCAGUCUUAUCUUACCGACCUACACUUUACCAAUUAUGGACACGUGCCCAAAAACGGUGUCAACAAAUACUAAAUAUACUAGAGGCACAAUACUGAAUUUUAUAUUUGGAAACACUUACCGGAUAUUUAGAAGCGUGCGUCAAUGGUUGCGGCCUGUCUUUCAUCUUGCUUGUGUGUUUUUCAUAAGCCCUACAUGCAAUCCAGUACAGCACACACAUAUAUGCCUCAUUAUUUUUGUUCAAUGACAUUGGCAUUUAUAAAACAAGUCAUAUAGUAGGUAAGGAAAGAACUCACUCAUCAAUCAAGGAUUUUAACAUGCUGAAAUCAUGUUUUGCAGAUCUGUUGGAAUCAAGGUAUAUGACCUUAUUCCACUUUUGAAUUAUUAUCACCACGAUCCAAUGAGCACCAGCUAAGCCACCAAUGUUGUAGGCAAACAUUAUGAAGUCUCUAUUGGUAUACCUAGUGAAGGCCUUUUGAACAUUCUGCAUAACUCGGUCUCUAUCAAAGUUUAUGCUAUCUAGUGACAUCAGUUGUGGAUCAAGAAAGCCCACAUGAAUGUUCUUGGUCUUAGCUUCCAGAACCAGUGAUCUAAAAAUAAUAAAGAACAUGUAGAGAAAAUAAGAAAUAAGAGGUACUUGCAGCUGAAGAUAAGUGCAAAACAGACCCUAAAUCAUGUUAGCAUCACAAGCAUAUAUUCUAUCUUUAGUCAUUGCAAAUGCAGAAAUAAUAGUACUAUCAAUAGGACUAUAGCAGUUACUUACAAUGUCAAACAUUGAAGAAGCGAGGAAUCCAAAGCACCGAAGUUGAAAAGGUCAUAAAGAACAUUAUAUCUCACAAGGCUGACCUCAAAGUCUGCUGAGUUUAGCAUAUAAGUACCUCUGAACCGAACCAAUAUCCCACUCUUCACAUUUUCAAUGCAAUCUUUCAUGUAAUAAGAAUGAAGAGCGAUACAUCCCGGUCCUGCCUUCUUGAGGUCCAGUGAAUGGAGAAAUGCCUGCCCACACUUGUACUUAGAAGCCCCUUUUUGCUGCUGUUGUUGUUGUUUUAGACUCCCUCUAGCAUCCUCACUAGCCGCCUUGUGUUGCUUAGGUGGCUUUGCACUCCCUCCAGCAUCCUCACUAGCCACUUUGUGUUGCUUGUGUGGCUUUGCUGCAUCAGAUGUGGCAGGAGAUUGCUGCUUUGAAGGAGCUGAAUUGCCUCCACAAAGUUGCUUUGUCGAGAUUAUAGCACUAUUGCCCUUCGAAGCACUCUUGGCACUAUUUAUGUUCUCAAUUUGUUGAGAUUGGGCUGGCUGGGUAGGAUUGACAUAAAUGCGAUCCCUCCUCCAUUGUAUUCUCUGCAGUAGAGCGUCUCCAAGUGUUUCGGUCUCAUCAUUGGGGGGAAGCUGCAACACAUGAUCCUCAUGCCCCUAACAUACACAUUCCACUUGGACUACUGCAUGAUCAUACUGUAUUGGGACUGUGUGUAGCUCAAGUUGCUUUGGGAACACUCGACCCUCUGCAACCACAACUCGUAAGCCUCUAAGGUCUGCCAGAAGAGAACAUUGUGUUGGCUCUGUGAGAAGAUCAGUAGUAUCCGGAUCAAUUGAAUUAGGCCCCAACUCAGCAGCAUCGGAGGCAGAGCCACAACUGCUCCUUCGUCCGCAAGCAGGACUAGGGGUCCUAGAAGGUGGUGGUCUUACCAACAAUCCUUGGUCAGCAAGAGUUUUGAUGACAUCCUGUGUAACUUCUCAUCUGAGUUGUUCCAAAUCUAAUGCACUAGGCCUCUUCCGCUUUCUGUACGUGCCAGAGCACUCAGGCCAACCAUGCUUCCAGCUGGUAUAACUUGAAACAGCGCGUACUCGACCUGGCUGUUCAGGGCCCAAACAUGCAGUUAGCAGAUCAUUCUCCCUGACCCAAGUGAUGCCCGAUGCUUCUGCAGCUGAAUGCUUCACUUUGAUGUCUUCAGAGAUUUUUUUGUUGCAUCUUAUGUCCAGAUGAUCUCAGCUUUAUUUUCUGAUAUAUCAAGCUUACUCCUUCCUCGCAUAAACCUCAUGUGGCGGCCUUCAGGGAAUUCUUGCCAUGGGUUACUGAUGCCUUUACUGGCUAAAGUUGCAUCCUCCGUCUCCCACUGUUUUGAUUUGCCCUCAUACCCUGCUGUGCCCAAACAAUGGUUGUGCACAUUCUUUUGGCAAAGAAUUUUGUAUUUCUCACUUAUUGUUGCUGCUUCUGUGGACUGCUUCAAUGCCACAAAUUCAUCCCAAUCAUCAGGUUCAAGGUAUGGGUGCUUCUCAAAGGGACUAAGGUUUUUCUCAAUAUAACCAGUUACUAGCCUACAUUUGUGGCUUCUCUCUUAGAUAUCACCUUCAUUAUAUACUUAAACCCCCCUGUCUUCAUUGCAGUUGGGAACUCCAAGUAAGGCAUGACAUGUCUAUCAAACAAUUUCCAUUUCCUCUCAUCAGUAAGGUUUUUGAAUGAUGGCAUCACUAAGGAUAGUUUUUCCAUAGCAAUAAACGAGCAAGCAACCACAAUCUUCGUUGUGCUCUCACCUCAGUUGGCAUCCCAUCCGGACGAAUCACUGUGACGACAAUCUUGUCCGUCGGCCACUUAGACGGUGUCUUUGGUUUUCUAGGACGACGCAUAGGCCCAGGCAAACACUGCUGCUGCUCGUCUUCAAUGGAACAUUGCUGCUGCUCGUCUUCAAUGGAACACUGCUGCUGCUCGUCUUCAAUUGGUGACUCUACGUCCUCAGAAACAUUUCGUCGUCACCACUUGACGAAGAUUCCGCGGAAGACACCUAUCAAUCAAAGAUGCGGUUCAACAAAUUGCACAAGACUAAAUUUAGAUGCUAGAAAUAUGUUAUUCGCUGGAAAUGAUUGUGGAGACUGAUAGCUUACCAUUUUGAUGUGGAACUUGAUUCAAUAGCACACACAACGCCAGCGACUCAGCUUCAGCAUAUCAUACAUGGGUUUGUUCACAUGUAAAAAAGUGACCAUCAGCACAUUGUAAUUAUACUGUAAAUAAUCUGCAUUAAAUCAAUACUGAUGCAAAAUGAGCUGCUACUCUAGUGAAAAAGAAAUCAAUACCCAUGCCCAAUAUUGACUGAGUAAUCAUACAAAUAUUGACUGAGGAACAAAUCACAGCCAAUAGGAAGUUGUUGGGUUCACACAAGAAAGAAAAGGCUUACUGAUAUGCACAAGUUUUAUAGAAAAAAACAGUGACAUUAUAUAUUCCAACUCUGCUAUCAUAGUGUAAAAAAAUAAAAGAUGCACAUUCAGAGUUUUGUAGCAAAGUUUGGAUAGCAGGUAAAAAAAGCCAUUCAGAGUUUAGUUGUAUAGUAUGCUGUUACUGUUACUUAUUCAUUCACCAUGCAGAUGCACUAGUGUAAAGUGUAGUAAACUUUAACCACAGAAAGAAAAGAAAAGGCUGAAACAGUGAACCCUAUCUACACAUCGUUUUCAGUUUUCAGUUUUUCACCAAUGACAGACACAAGACCACAGACAAUUCCCAUGAAUUGAAAUGCAUCAAGCACGCAAUCAAAGAGGCAUACAAAUUGUCAAAAGAGGCAUACAAAUUGUCAAAAGAGGCAUACAAAUUGUCACAUAUAUACAGUCCUUCACAUUUCAGCUUAAGUCACAUAUAUACAGAAUCUAAGAUGACAAACCAAUAAAUAGGUCUCUCAUUUUCAGUUCAACAAUAUCAGUAACUACAGAAGAACACAAGUUUCAGUAAUGAACUAAUAAUGAUAUAGGCAUCUAGCAAGGCACUCAUCAACGAACCAUAGGUGAUGUUUGAUUGAAAUCAGAGCAUUUGGAAGGAACAAAUGAAAUCAGAGCAAGUGGGGAGCACUCACCCUUUCGAAAUUGGACUGGGAACACGCAGCUGCUGCAGGUGCUAGUCGCGGUGACUGGUGGAUCUCCAGCCCGAGGCCCCAACUCUGCGCGCCGCCGGCGAAGCCGCUAUGGCUUCCCUGCGUCGUCUACACCAUCCUCGCCUCCUGACCUCUUGACCUAUCAGCACCAUGAAAAACAAAUCAGUCGGCUGCGAGACUUGGGGACUUGGGGACUUGGGGACUUGGGGACUUGGGGAGUCAAUGGCUUACCUGCUUCUUGCUCGAGAGUCGAAGGCGGCGCACAGGAGAGAGGCGGCGCACGGGGGAGAGAGGCGGCGCACGGGAGAGAGGCGGGACUUGGGGAGAGAGGCGGCGCACGGGAGAGAGGCGCACGAGACUUGGGGACUUGGGAGAGGCGGCUGCGAGACUUGGAGAUAUACUCGUACUUGGGCCUGUACGCUUCCGGCCUAAACAAAAUAGAAUGACCUCUGCACAUGAGGAAACAAGUCAGCUUCACUGUCAAUGCUCCCUCCUGCACCAUUUGCUUGCCAUUCUAGAAUAUGAAUAUGAGCAGUUAGCAUGUUUACUAACCAUGAUAUCAAAUUAUUUGAAGCAAGCUGAAACCUAAUUCAACACAAGUAAAUGCAUACCUGAAGAAGAACAAGUAAUUUGUUCACGAUUCCAUCCAGGUAAGGCUUCAAAAUUUCCGGUGUACAAUUCUCACUAAAAUUCAAAAUUGCUGAAGCUGCAUGUGCCUGCCAACAAGAAUAGCAAAUUAGCAAUAGUCGCCAGGUCCUAAGAUGUAUGACAUGAAUAGGUACACAGGCCGAUUUAGAAAAUAAGCAUAAAGAAUUGUCAGGCCAACAGCUCUUGCAGAAUUGGUAAUUUAGUAUUUGUCAGGCCAUUCCACAAGAUGAAUCCAUGGAAAAAAAUAUUGUUCAUAACAUCCUGUUUCCUGAUGCUGUGAUGCAACAUGCUAAAAAUAUCAAUUUUAUAACUACCCAAAAAAGAAAAACAAAUAUCCUUUGGGUUGAUCAACUGAUUACUAAAUAUUUGACAUACUUAUAAAGUUAAAUCAGGCUAACCUUUGCACAUCCUUCCGCAAUCUGUGCAAGUGUAAUGAGCGCAGCAUGGUGCUUCUGCCACUCAGGAGCAGACAGGUACUGUGGUAGCAGCUCAGAUGCAAUUGGCACAAUUGUGUUCCCACCAAUGGCGAUGGCAAGGCGGUCAAGUCCACUUGUCCUGUUGCCAAUGCUCCACUGUUUUUUCAAAAUCAACACGACCCACCAUCUCAGCAAGGCCGACAAACUGGCCACUUGCAUUCACCUUCAAAAAGAGAAUACAUAACAGCAUAAGCAUGGUGAAUGAUCUCAAUGAAGCAUUAGUUUUUGCGCGCUUGCAGUUUUCGACGACGUUUUGCCACGGUGACCUCUUCUACAUGACCUUGUCUUAAGUAUGGAGUUUUCUCACUCUCUAGAAUCACAGGGAGGGUCCAAUCACCAAAUUGAGGGAUUUCACCAGAUGGAUUGUACUCUUCCUCAUCCACAUCAUCUUCAACUCCGGCCACCCGUUUUUUACCGGGGAGAACUACAAGGCGUUUCUUGUUUCUCGUGUCGAGCACAUAAAAGACUUGUGAAACCUGAGCUGCAAGUACGAAUGGUUCAUCCUUGUACCCAACCUGUUCAAAGUCAACAAUGGUGAAUCCAUAUAUGUCCUUCAUGAUGCCCCUUGUGCCCUUAACCCAACGGCACCGAAAAAUGGGCACCUUGAAGGGCACCUUGACGCCAGGAUAAGUGAGCUCCCAAAUCUCCUCUAUCUGACCAUAGUAUGCAUCCUUUUGUACAUCCGUGCUGUCGAAAGCAUCUACGCGAACACCACUAUUUUGGUACACGCUUUUCUGGUCUUGAGCCAAGGUGUAGAAUGUGUAUCCAUUUAUGUCAUAUCCCUGGUAAGUUGUGAUUGUGAACAAAGGGCCUUCUGCUAGGUUCCGAAGGCCCUCAUCUAUACAAGAGCUGAAAUGGAGGAUUCACUUUUUGAACCAAAUGUUGAAUCCCUUCAUAUGUGCCUUCGCUAUCCAAGCUUCGCUCCGACCUGGAUUCUCUUCACGCAACUUGUCCUUAUGCUCAUCGAUAUAAGGAGACACCUCUGCUGUGUGUUCCAACACGAGAAAGUGAGCUCGCCGGUAAUCAUCCAGAUCUGGAGUAAGUGUCUUCUUCCCAAGAGUCCCUGUCCCCACAAUCCUUCCCUCGUGGCGAGACUUAUACAUGCCGAUUGGAUUUGUAGGAUCAAUGUAACUAAGGCACCACUCAACUACCUCCUCAGCAGAGUAACCCUGGACCAUGCUUCCCUCUGGAUGAACCCGACUCUUUGUAUACCGAUUCAAAGUGCUCAUGAACCUCUCGUAUGGAUACAUAUGAUGGAGGAACAUAGGACCAAGAUACCGUAUUUCCUUAACCAGAUGCGCAAUGAGAUAAACAGAUAUAUCGAAGAAUGUCGGUGGAAAAUACGCCUCUAGAAGACACAUUGUCUGGAAAAUGUCCCUCUCAAGAUUGUCCAGUGACCUCUCAUCAAGAAUCUUCUGAGAUAUUGUAUUGAAGAAGAAGCAUAAGCCCAUGAUUGUCUUUCUGACUUUUUCUGGCAAAAUGUUCCUGAUCCCAACCGCAAGCAUUGUUGUGAGCAUGACAUCGCAAUCAGGAGCCUUCAUGGGGAGCAUUUUGUUCUCUUUGGCUGCCACAAGCUUCCUGAUGUCUGCGGAGUAUCCUGAGGGAACUUUCACGCUACGGAAGAAGUCGUACAACUCCUGCUUCUCUUCCCUCUUUAGAUUGAUUACAGAUAAUGGUAGUGGGGCAUUGGGGCUCUCGGGACGCAACUCGGGCCUUAUAUCCAUAUCUUCCAUAUACGCCCGUGCAUUUGCAUGGUCCUUGCUUUUCCCUUUGCUGUUCAAGAGUGUUCCGAGUAAGCUUUCACAAACAUUCUUUUUCACAUGCAUGAGAUCAAAGCUGUGGUGAACUGCUAUGUCUUUCCAAUAAGGCAACUCCCAUAGAAUUGACUUCUUCUUCCACCUCUUAUCAGCAACUUCUUCCUCCUUGUCCUUGUGCUUUCUCUUCACAAGGGCAAUCUUUUUGUUCUUCCCCAAUGAAACAUUGACAUCCUUUACCUGCUCAUAAACAUCAUGCCCACUGAAAUGCCUCGGAGCAGAUCCUGUCUCAACCGUGCCAUCAAACUGGCCUUCCAUGCGCCGGUAAGGAUGAGAUCGGCGAAGGAAACGACGAUGUCUUGUGUACACCCUCUUCUUUGACUUGUUCAGCCAAAGACUCUCGGUGUCAUCUAAGCAGUGAAAGUAAUCUUUCUCUCCUUUAGACUUCCUAGAUAAGCAACGGUGUCCUGGAACAUCGGUAAUGGUGGUUAACACCAUGGCAUGCAACUUGAAUGACUCUCGCUUGUACCCAUCAUAUACCUUGACACCAUCUGACCACAAGAUCUUGAGCUCAUCCACAACCAGCCUCAAAUACGUAUCGAUGUCAUUGCCAGGCUAAUGCGGACCUGGGAUCAGAAGUGGCAUCAUCAUGUAUUUCCUUCUGUUACACAGCCAUAGUGGGAUAUUGUAGAUCGACAGCAACACAGGCCAGACACUGUGUGAGCUACUCAUAUUACCGAAUGGGUUCAUGCCAUCGGUGCUCAGGGCAAAACGAAUGUUCCUUGCCUCAUCUUUAAAGAACUCAUACUUGGAAUCAAUGAUGCGCCACUGAAUAGCAUCUGCUGGAUGCCGUAGGUAAUCAUCAAUCUUGCGUCCCUCCUUGUGCCAACUCAGCAGUUGUGCGUCCUUAGCAGUUGCAAAUAGACGCUUCAGGCGAGGAACUAUAGGAAAGUACCACACCACCUUCCUGGCAGCUCCGUGUCUCUUGUUGUCAUCACCCCCAUCAUUUCUUUGUUUGUAUCGAGUUACUCCACACUCGGGGCACUCAGUCAGUUUAGCGUUGUCUUCACCAUGGUACAGGAUACAAUCAUUUUUACAAGCAUGAAUUUUCUCAACCUCCAGUCCCAUAGGGCAAACAAUCUGCUUGGCCUCAUAUGUGGUCUUGGGUAACUCAUUGCCCUUAGGAAGUAUGUCCUCUAAUAGAUGAAGAAGCUCAUCAAAGCUCCGGUCAGUCCAAUGAUGUGUCGCCUUGAGCUGGAGAAGCUUGAGAGUGGCAAACAACUUUGUAUACUUCUCCUUGCACCUCUGAUAGAGCGGCGUCUUCAUAUCUGCCACUAGCCUCUUCAACUUCUUCAAAUCCACUGUGGUGAACUCAUCAUACCCCAUGGCAUCAGGCACCAUCUCCUCGAGAUCCUCUGCCUUUUGGACAUAAUUGGCACCGAUAUCUUCUAGCUGAUCAUCAGUCACAUCCGGGAUGCAAUCAGUAAGAUCCGGGCUGCAAAAGGGUCUUUCCUCCUUGUCCUAACCAACAACAUGAGUUCCAUCAUCCUGACGUUGACUACCAGAGACUCCUUGGUCCAUACGACCAGCUUGCAAGUCUCGUCCAUUGACUCCUUCUUCCCCAUGCUUGUUCCAACAUUUGUAGUCUUCCAUAAAUCCUCGCAUGACCAGGUGGCCAUAUACUGUCAAUGAACUCAAGAGCUCGUUUCCAUUCUUACAAUCUUGGCACGGACACCAGAGAGUUGUCUUCUGUUGAUUCGACAUAUCCGCCUUUGCAGCACUUAUGAAUGAUUUCAGACCAUCUAAGUACUCAGCACAAGUGCGACAGCGAAGAUACAUCCAGCUCCGAUCCUCCAUAUCUACAAAAGUAUGAAGACAAAAAUGAAACCAACCAAUCAAUUCCACACAAAGGACUGAUAACUACUACUAUGUUUGACAGUAUGCCAGUUCCAUCAUCAUAGUUUGACAAAAUAUCUUAACAUAGAUACGCGGACACAAAGGACUGACUACUACUAUGCUAAAUCUGAAAUGAAACAAGAUGGUGUCAAAUGCAGCCUCGACUCAGCAUGCAUGACCAGGGAAAAAAAUUAACAGCACCUUUGAUCUAGUUAACUGUAGCUUACAUUGAUAAGCUACACUGUAGCACCCUUCCAUAUGUAAGAAUAUGCCAUAUAUGCAUGACUACAUGAGUAAAGUGAAGGUAUUUCUAACCUUUGAAAUAAAUUUGCUGCAAGUGGACGGCUCGGUGCUGCAGGUGUUGCGAGGUGGCGCCGGCCGGAGCGCCUCCCGAGCUGGAGCUGAAGAGUUCUGAUCCAGCAGCAGAACUGGAGCUAGGGUUGUCGAGCUCCUCCCGAGCUGGAGCUGGAGCGGCCGGAGCGCUGGGGUUAUCAGCUGGAGCGGCUGGAGCAGCAGCUUCGCGGACGCGGCGCGGGGCGGGCGGGCGGCCGGCACGGCGCGGCGCGGGAGGGCGGGCGGGCGGCCGGCGCGGCGCGGGCAAGGCGGGCGGCCGGAGCGGCGCGGAUAGGGUGCGGGCAGGGCAGCCGGCCGGAGCGGCGCAGACAGUGCGGCCGGCGUUGGGAAGGGCGUCGGCGCUGCGGAGAAUUUUUUUUACCGGAGAAGGAGCGGUGGCGUUGUGUAAUGGGGUGCUGUGUACAUGCAUUAAGAUUCGUGCUGUGUACAAGGUAUCUGUGACCCUUGUAAGCAAUAUGAGUCACUGAUAUGUCCCUCUAUCAGUGACGCGUCACUUCUAUUAUCAGUAACGCGCCUUCAUAAAACGCCUCACUAAUAGUACCUCCUAUCUGUGACGCGUGUUGUUAAUACGCGUCGCAGACUAUAUCAGCGACGCGUUUUCUUUACCCGCGUCGCUGAUAUAUUGUUCUCAGCAUUACAGGCCAUGGUGGCAGCUUAUCAGCGACGCGUCUAGCUAACCCGCGUUGCUGAUAGCCUUAUCAGUGACUCUUUUUGUUCUUAGUCUAUGUAGAAGCGUCACUGAUAAGGCUUUUUGGCAUAGUGCCUAUCGCCAUGUUUUUCAACUUUUAGUCCAUUUCCUCGGUCAACUUUUAGCUUUCAAAAGACAGCUCAACAGCUAUACUGUUUGUUUUAUCUUAUAGCUUCUAGUUAACAAAAACUAGCAAAAAGCUAAAACAAACAGGCCCGGGAAAGAUAUUUUAGCUAUUAGUUAGAGUAUUAAGUAGGUUGUUUGAUCUACUAGUGUGUAACACCCAAAUUUUUUAUUUCAAUUAAUAGGAAUUAAUUUGAUUUAUCUAAGUAUUUUUGUGAACAUUUAAUGUAGUAAUUUCAAUAAAUUUUAUUGAAAUUAAAAUCCAUCAUAAAGUAUAGUAACUUGUUUAUGCAUUCAUGCUGAAGCAUAUUUUAUUUUGUGUUGGUUGCCUUUGGCUAGAAUUUAAUUGCAUUCAAAAUUCUAUUUGGAAAAUGUUUUGAAGAAAAGGAAAUAAAAAAACAAGAAAGGCCAGUAGCAGCAGCGGCUUGCCAGCCCAGCUCGCGGCCCAUUUUCCCCGCAGCCCACGCGCGCCCCACCUCUCCCCUCUCCCUUCUUCGGCUGACGGCCGAGACCGCUGCGACACACGCUGACACCCGGGCCCCACCUGGCAGUGCCCUGCCCUCCCUUCUUCCUUCGCUCGUGACCGAGCCGGAGUUGAGGGCGUCUACCGAAUCUUCCCAAUCCCGAUUUCUCAGGGAUUCGAUCUCCCUGAGUCCUUUUUAAGCACCGUGGAGCAAACCACGACUUCCUUUUCCAUCUAUCGCACCGGGGAAGCCCCUCUAACCCUUGUUUGGCGAGGUCUAGAUCCCGCCGAACCUGUCCCCAAGCCGCCGUCGUGAUUGUCACCAAUCGAAGCUUCUCUGCGGCUUGAGAUUCGUCGCCGAGGUCCGCGUGGAGUUUCCAAAGUCGCUGAGCCUCUCCAUUCUCUCUCUCGUGUGAUCUAAGCCGCGCUAACCGCUGCCGAACCUACAGGAACGCUUUCGGCCGCCAUUCGAAGCACUACACCGCCCUCGUGGAUUCCUCGUCCCUGUCUUUGUGCUAGGUGAGUUCGCACAAAGCUCCGCUUUGUUUCCGUACCCUCGGCUAGGAGAAUGGUGCACUGAAUCGCGAGGUGGGUGAUCUCCGGUGAGGUUUUCGGCCUCACGGCCAUGGCGCCACCGAGCCGGGCCUGGGCUCCGGCGGCCGGCCGCCGCCUGGGACUCUCCCAGCUGAAUCUCAGCCGUUGGAUCGGCCCUGGAUGGUUAGGAUUAGAAGGUACCCCUUCGAGGGGAUUUUUCUUUAAGAGACCCUGGAAAAAUUGAGACUCACCCCGUGGUCCUUGGCGCCCUGUGCAAGUUUCCGCUUUCCAAGUUAGAAAGUGUAUUCCUAUCGGUUGAGUUCAAAUGCGCUUUCUAGAAAUUACAGUUUUGCUAUUGGUUUUGUUUUGGUCAUAAAAUAUUUGUUUUAACUCCGUUUUGGUCCAUUCAAAUUUCGUUAGAUUCAUAUUUACGAGCUCUACAUGUUAGAAGUAUUAUUUCACUGUUUUGAAUCUUUUUAAUUUCGUGGUACUAUUUAAUUAAUUAUUUCUCUAUAGGAAUCUUGGAAAAUUCAUAACUUCUACGUUUUAAAUCCGAUUUUCGUGAACUUUAUGUUUGUGUGAUCGUAGCGCUGCAUAGAACAUUUUGAUAAACUUUUAUCUUUGUUUUACUACUAUUUGGUGUAUUGUUCUAAUUAUAUCUUGCUUGCAUCGUGUAUGAUUGUCUACAUUGGAUUGCGUGUUGUUGAUUGAUGAUCGAGUAUAGACGGUGAGCGAUACGUUGGUGAUCAAGGUCAAGCUUUUGACGACCAACAGCAGUCUCAGGAGAGCUUUGAUCAAGGCAAGUAUAACUUGAGACCAUCCUUGUUACCUAUACACAAUUAAUACAAUAUAUCAUAUGCAUGUGUCUACCUUGAUGACCUUAGCAAAAUUAUAGAUGAUUGUUAUCCUGAAUUUCUUGUUACCUAUUUGGAUAUGCAUUUGCGGUAGUUCUUGCUAGUGUUUGAUUAAUAAUCCAUGAUCUUGUAAUAUGAAUAUUUGGAUAUACAAUAAACAAUAAAAUAAGCUUUCUAGCAACUUGAACAUAAAGGGUGGAAAGAACUCUAGCUUUUGCUAGAUUGAUCUUGACCCUCCAUAAGGACUUAUCCCUUGGCAAAAGCUGGGACAACUCGUACAACCAUGAGGGCUACAUGGCUCUGGUUUUAGCUCAGUAUGAGGACCUUUUUCUAGCUUGUUAGCGGUUACCUUAAAUGGCGUAAGAAUGGCUAGACACGUUGGGUAUAGUGUGGCCUCUAUCCAUGUGUAUAGGCUGUGGGUUAUGUGCCAUGGAAGGGGGGCUCUAUAUCUGCCUGCUGAGUGAAUCUAAUGGCCCUAAUUUGUUAGACGAAACCUUUAAAAGGCUUCAUAGUGAUCCCUGCCGACCUUCCUAGGAAGGAGGUUAAGAGACUUGCAACCUCGGGCGAAAGGGUAAAUCA
RNAcentral lists this long non-coding RNA (75533 nucleotides) under Sorghum bicolor (sorghum). Its description in RNAcentral is "long non-coding RNA (SBIC_LNC006218)". Lineage: Eukaryota; Viridiplantae; Streptophyta; Magnoliopsida; Poales; Poaceae. The record is from RNAcentral.